CUUAUGUCCUUUUUGUUUUUGCUAAGUUUCAACUAAUACACUCGGUAUUUAUCUUUGUGCUUAUGUGAUAGAUUUGUUAUGCACUGUAGUGAUGUGGGGUGUUUCCUUAUUUUCUGCAUCUUAACUACCUUAUUUCCUGCAUUUUAACUACCUUAUUUCCUGCAUCUUAAAUACCUUAUUUUCUGAAUCUUAGUUGGUACUGAAAUUUGGUUUGUUUCAGUGAAAGAGGCACUAUCAGCAUUGACAUGUACAUGUGAUUUUAGGCAUGAACCAGGAGAGUGAGAGUUUUAGUGUGCCGUGUUUAGAAUUUGCCGAUAUCUUUUUCCCGUUCCAGCAAGUAUUCCUGAUUGUGGGGGUAACUCUCAAGUCUGCAGUCUUUUCUUCAUGAAAUUUGUAGAUUAUCUAAGAAUACUAAUAUCAUUUAAUGUUGACAUUUUUUUAGCAACUUUUCUUAACCCCACUUUUUGAAUUUCAUUAAGUUUACUCUUGUUUAAUUGACAGAUUCUUCCAGUAAUGCUAGAUAUUGGUACUAACAACGAGAAGUUACUUAAUGAUUCUCUUUGUAAGUGAAAGGGAAACCUUCAUGUCGUUUAUCUCCAUAUUUUCCAUGUAAUGUAUUGUGCUUAUAUUGAUCUGUUUCUGUUGUCAAUGGCGAUAUAUUUGGGUUUUUUGUUGUUGUUGUGGUGGUGGUGGUGAAAUAUUUUAUUUAAGUCUCUAGUUAAUAUUUAUGCUUACUUAACAGAAAAUUUGUUGCUUGAGCUUGCUUCAUUUGGUUCUUUUACUUGUUUAAGUCCUCCUCUAACUAAUUAUACAUUUCGUCCUUUUACUUGUUUAAGUCCUCCAAAAAGUAUUCAUUACUUUAAUAAAUUCCCUCACCAGCAUCAUCACCUCUUAUUCAACAAACUGUUUUUUCCCAAAAGCAAAAAAGGAAAAAAAAAAAAAAGAUAAAGACAAUCAAGAACAACCAUCAACUACAUGAAAAAAAAAGAGAAGAAAAAGAUAGCUACCGAAAAACAUUACUACCCAUUUUCAUUAUCAUCAUCCUCUACUAUGCUUUUCCACCUUCUUCUAACCCAUUUUUCCAUUGCAGGAUUUAUUGGAGUUGAGGAGUCCCACAAUCUUUAUGUUCUGUUUGUUUUUCCAUACUUUUUCAAGGCUGUUCAAUUGGAGUUCCAUCUUCAGGUAAUAUUAAUGUGUUUGUUUCUAAGAUAAUUUUGUUAAACACUUGUUUUUGUUGUCCCCAUCCACCAGCUGUUUGAUGAAAUGCCGCAUUGAAUAAUUUUGUGGGUUCUUGGGAAGCGUGUGAUCUAUGUGUUGUGGAAUUUGUAUAAUUAGUUAGAGUGAUUUAGGAAAACUUUUGUAUUUGUAGUUGAAUAGAUAAUUCAUUCCAUAUUUAGAGCAUGAUUAAGAGUUAUUUUGAAAUUGUUAAAAUUACUUCAAAAGAUAUUUGGAUAAUUUAAAUGACUUUCUAUUGUAUGUUGAUCACGUUUGAUAGAUCGAAAACUUUUCUUCUUCUUCUUCUUCUUUGUUUCUUCCUGCUGCCUAUUUGACCUGCAACUUUGAGUGUAGUUGCUUGGCUGUCUAAUUGCCACCACUCAAAGUCACUCCUUCGCCUUCUUAUCACUCUUAAUUUUCUUGACAACAAAGUCAAACUGCUACAGAACAAUCGAAUUUUCGUUUGAUUAAUUUUCUAUCCACAGGAGGCUUUUGUAUGUUGAUCACCCUUGUUUUCUUUGAAAAGUUUAAAAUUCCAUACACGAUAUAUUGGGAAACUUUCACAUUCCUCGGGACAUUAAAAGCUCAAGAGCAUUGAUUUUGAGCAAAAUAAAAAUGAAAAUCCCUUUUAAUUUCCAGCAACACCAUAUUUGAAGUUCAUUGUAUUUUCUUCUUCCAACUACAGGUUGACGUGAUUGUCUUGACAGAUGGAAGUCGUAUUCUUGGCCUCGGUGACCUUGGAGUUCAGGGAAUAGGAAUACCUAGAUUGGAGGGAGAAGAGUAUCUAUCUAUUGUUGAUGAAUUUAUGGAAGUCGUGCAUACAUGUUGGCCUAAAGCUAUUGUUCAGGUUUAUUGGUUAAGAUAUCAAAUUUUUAACUGUGUUCACUGCCAGUAAUCAGUAUCGUAAUCUCGCAAUUUGAUUUUGAAUGAUGCCAGUUUGAGGAUUUUCAAAUGAAAUGGGCUUUUGAAACAUUACAACGUUAUCGUAAGAGGUUCUGCAUGUUCAACGAUGACAUACAAGUGAGUAGUUCAUGUUGUAUUCAUGCAGUUGAUAAUUACUUAAAAGGACAUUCAUUUUCGUUUAUUUCAUUUCAUAAAGGGAACUGCUGGUGUUGCUCUCGCUGGACUAUUGGGAAAUGUGAGAGCUCAAGGGCAGCAUUGAGUGAUUUUGUUAACCAAAAGAUAGUAGUGGUAGGGGCUGGAAGGUAUUGUCAGCUGUUUAACUUUAACAUUUUCUCCAAAUAGCAAUACUGCUAACUAUUUAGGGAUCAUAAGCCUUGUCCUCUUUGUUGAAACAAAAGUGGUUGUUUGAAAGAGAAUUAAUUACUAUUACUAUUACUAUUACUAUUACGUGAAUAUAAGAGAAAUGAAAACUUUGGAAACUAUAGUUCAAUCCUUUUGGUUUAACCUUCAUUUGUUUCAACAUGCUGUUUUUUCUCCUCUUUCAACUUCAGUGUUGGGCUCGGUGUUCUUAACAUGGCUAUUCAGGCUGUUUUGAGAAUGGUAGGGAACAACGAUUCUACUGCAAGAAAUCGAUUUUUUUUCUAAUAGACAAAGAUGUAAGAAUCUUUUUCAAACUUUCAUUUCUCAAUUUAUGCAUCAGUCUGUCCAAGUUUUUCCUUCCAUGAGAGUUACUGAUUUCAGAAACCAAUCGGAUGGGGUUUGGAAUUUGGGUAGCUUUAUUAUGGGUUAAUUUGUAUGACGCAGUUUCGUGUGAAAAGUAUGAGGCAGUUGAAGAAGUUAAAUGACUUGUGGUGGUAGUAAUCAGUGUCAAACUCAUGUGGUUUUUAACUUACAAAGAAAGAGGAAAAAUAUCAACUUAGUCCGAUGCAGAUUAGGGUUUUAAGUCUUCUAUCUAAUUGUUUGUGUGAUAAAUGCAGUUACUUUAUCAAAAACAAAGAAGAAAAGGAAGGGACCACAAGAUUCUUUAGUAUUUUAAUUUUAUUGCAUUACAUUAUAUUCAAUCUUCAUUUUUCUUGGUUGUGCUGCAAAUGGUGUUUCUUCUAUUAUGGAUUUGCAUUAUACAACAUUGCCAUAUUAAGUCAUAAAGUUAUGAAAAUUAGAAACACACCCUUUGUAGGAGAGAACAUGAUCCUUCCUUUGAAGUAAAUUGAGAGAAUUUCCUCUACUGCCUCAAUUUUAAGGCUUGAGGUUUGAAGAACAAGGAUGAAUAAUCAACGAAAAAGGAAUGAAGAGGUUUCUCGUUUAGGGAAAAUAGCGAUUUUUCGUUUUUCAUACUUCCAAAACGACACAAGUAUGAACUUAUUGUGUAUUAAAUUGAUCGAGAGGCCUUCCAAUUGUUUGUUAAUCUAUAGUUUCUGUCUCUAUUUUAAUUAACUGCUACAUGUAGAAGCCUAACUAACUUAGUUAGAGUUCUAUCAAAAAAAGGAAAGAAAAAAAGGAAGAAGAAAGAUCAUGUGAUAAAUUUAUAGAAAUGCCAUGCAAUUAUUUUCUAACUAUUAAUUUAUGUUUCUGUGGUAAAUUACUGCUACUAGAAAUCUAAUUGUGUUCGGUUAGUUAGACUUCAUGGGUUUGAUUUUUUUUUUUUUUUUGUUAAAGAGGUUCCAUAAGUAUACCGAUGGUUUUGAAAUUUUGAUUUGAUGCAUGUCUGAGAAAUUUCAAGGCUAAAUUAUACAGAAUACCCAUAAACUUUGUACUUUAUAUAAAAAUACCAUUGAAAAUACACUCAAAACAUAAACUACCAAAAGUGUUAAAAAUACAGUUAAUAUAAUUAUCCUAAUUUUAGUAAUAAAUGAAAUUGAGAGAACUUUCUUUGAUUUUCAGGAACAAGGAUGAAUAAUCAAUGAAAAAGGAAUGAAGAGGUUUAUCCAUGCAAGCUUCAAACCAAAGCCAAGGAUGUCGAUCCUUCCAGGGGAGUCCAAAGUUCUCCCUUAUUUUUCUCCCUUUAUUUUGAUUUUCAAAAGUUUGCAAUUUUUUAAGUGGGGGUGGGCAAUUGCUUGCAUGUUUAGUCUAAACUUGGAGGUUCAAAUUUUGCCCAAAUUUCAAAAUUUCUAAAAAAAAUUUCCUUACAAUAAUGAGCACUAUACCUUCUUAGAUUACUUAGAUCUUGCAUAAAAAGCAUGACUAGCAACCCUUGAUCACUGAGCUUGGGUUUGUGAUGUAAAAUUCUGAAUGUUGAUGAGUAUAUGUGCUGAAAUUUGAGAAUAAGCUGCCGUGUUUUUUGGUUUAAGCCCAUUUUUAGCGAUAUCUUAUGGAGAUGUGAAUGCAUGAUUGAGAAAAUGGUAUGUGUGUUGUGAAUGCUUGAUUGCAUGCAUAUAAUAAAUAAGUGCAUGGAUACUUUUCUAGCUUUGUCUUCCUUUGUUUCUUUGCCAUGACUUACCUAUGAUGCGCUUAGUCCAAACCUAGCCUAGAUAGAGUUAAAAAAGGAUAGGAGGUACUCUUUAGAAAUUGAGAUGGUUUUAACAAAUUUGUCUUGUCAAACAUGAGUUUGGAGCCUCUUGUCUAGCCACAAUGAACUAAAUCCCUUUAGAAAGGGUGGGCAUUAACAAAUCUUGUUGUCACUUCGAAGGGAGCAGUCAAACUUAGAAACUAAGUGUAGAACCAUAGAAAGGUUACCCCAUCGGUUAUUGUGUGCGUACCAAAGAAAGAAAAGAGAGACUUGCAAAUGUAAAACUUAAGACAGCGAGACAAUUAAGAGCUAAAAAAAACAAAGAACAUAUGCAUUAUACAUCAGAAAAAUCCCAUAAAAAAAUGAAGGGAAACUUCACUUUUGGCCUAACCAAAAGCAGACCACCUACUCUUAGCGUUCUAGACAUAGCAUUGAGUUUGAUGAGGGCUUUGAAAAGAGGAGGAAUCCUCCCCGUUCCACACUAGGGGAAAAACGAGACUUGUCACUCCGAAGGGAGCAGUCAAACUUAGCAUUGAGUUCAAGGUAUCCUUCUUAGAUUCUUGAAUCAUGACUACAUUAGGACUACAAUGAGCACCAUUGUUAUGGAUCAAAAUAAAGUUCCAAAUGUUCAUCCAAUCGUGCCAUCAAAUGUGUCAGAAGGAAAUAUUCAUGUUAGCAUUGGAAAGACGUCAAUAGCAGUGGAAAGAAUUGAAGAAAAAAGUGAAACAAAAGUGAAUGGAGACAGGAAAAUGAAAUUAUCCCAGAAAAGCCAACAAUGUGUAGCAAAUGGUACAAACAAGAGUUGAGAAAAGAUGGGGCGUGAUUUCAUGGUUUCAAAUGGGAAGUCAUCAUGUGUAUUUAAGGGGAAAAUAUUUUGUUUUUCUAGUUCCUUUCCAGAAGAUCGGGUAUGUUGUAAAGAUUCUUUCCUCUUAUUUCAAACAGCAUGAUUAAUGUACACUAUGCACUUUAGGUUUUAGAUGUAUUAUUGUGGUAAAUAGCAUCCAUUUUUUAAAAAAAUAACAAAGUAGAAGCCCUGUAUUCAAUAUCAGUUGACUUGAGUAAAGAGUAGUUCAUUACUGCUCCAACUCCAUGAUUUUAAAAGCAAGUCAAUGGUGCAGAUAGGAUUCUAGAUCUACUGUUUCUUUAACACUCCGAUCCUGUUAAGAGAAUGAUAUAAAAAAAAUGGAAAAAUUACCUUUUUAGUCCCCAAUUUUAUAGAAAUAGGUUUAUUGGUCCUUGAGUUUUCAAAAUGUACUCUUUUAAUCCUUGAGUGCUUAAUGUUAUACUGGAGACUCUCAAAACCAAUUUUUAGAAGAAGUUAUUCUACCUUAAAAAUGUAUAAAGUUAUAUUGGGGACUUUCUAAACCAAUUUUUAUAAACUUAGAGACUAAAAAGGUGCAUGACCAAAUGGGUCUAUUUUUCUAAACCUGGAGACUAAAAAUGUACAUUUUUAAAACUCAAGAACCAAACACACGUGUUCUUCAAAACCAAAACUUGGGGAGUAAUUUUCCUAAAAAAUUUAAGAUAGUGCCAAAUGUCAUUUAGCAUGUGAAAUAAUUACGAUUUUCAUUUUUCAUUUGAGGAAUAUGCCUUCAAAUUUUUUUACAUUUUAUUUUUGAACACUAACAAACAUGCAUCAACUUUUGACUUCCAUAAUCCCAAAUAUUUUUUAUGUAUAUUUUGAGAUCAUAUUUGAAAUUCUCCUACUAGAGAGCUGAAAUUGUUGAAUGAUAAAUCAAGGGGGAGGCGAGGUUGUUGAAGAUCACAUGAAGCAGAAAGUGCACUUCACUGUUGAAUGUCAUGGUGGGAUACCAAGGAGUACAGACGUUCAUAGUACUUAUGUGUCAAGUCAUCGGGUUCGAUCAUGUUUAGAGGUAAGCGAUAAUUAAUUGUCUUAUUUGUGAUUUCCGUUUUAGAGCUCUACUAUUGGGUUUUGUUUGUGUUUCCCUUUUUGGACAUAAAAGUCCACACAAGGUUGAAUAGCAUAUUUUGUUUCAUUUAGCCACUGCAAGUUUGGAUUGUGUUUGGGUUGGAUCUUUGAAUUUUGAGGGACUUUAGUUUUGUGUUGAGCCACGCUCUUAUAAUAUGAAGGAUGGAUACUGUUUUUUCCAAAACCAAACGCACAUCAGUUUUCUAAGAUUACAACAACUGUCCUCCCAGUGUAAAAAAAGGUAUCCUCAAACCAACCAAAAGAAGGGGAAUAUGUGAGCAAGAUUUAUAGUUAAUAAAUCAUCAAAAGUAAAUUAGAGUUGGACUCGAGAACUCUUGCUGAUGUAUAGGAAAAGCAGACAAGGUAUGGGAAUAUAAAUUAAAACAGCCUUUAGAUGAAAAGGGCUGCUACAACUGAUCCUACCUCAAAUGGCGGUACCAAAAUAUAGGACUUGAACCUCAGUCUUCUCCCUCGCCCGUUGUUCUUGGCAAUGUUAAAGUAUCUCAAUUCGUACACAUUCAUCUCCUUGUUUGAAGCAAUAACUCAAAGCCAAUCUCUAAUGUUGUGUUUCUUGAAAUUCUUCUUAGCCAAGUAUUUAAGAUUCCUCUUGGAGAAGUAGCUAUUGGAGUUGAUGUUGAUCUUGUUCUUGUCCUGAGUGAUAGUGACUGAGUCAUCAAGUGUCUCUGCCACCCCAGCUUUGUUGGUCUGAUGAGGUGAUGGCCGUGAUCUUGUCCUCAACUGGCAUCACACAAUCAAAUGGUCACAUCCUUAUUUUUUCCCUUUGGGCCACCAGGUCGAUGACUCAUUCUGCUUCUGCUCUGCUACUUGUUUCCCUAACUCUGCAUCUGUAUAGAACAAUUGGCAUAAAUGGUGGAUACUAUUAAAUUGGAAAAUGGAGAUUCAAUCAGUUCUAUCAUUUUGACCUUUUGAUGUUUAGGGGAAGGUGGUAACAUAAAUUUACCUUCUCAGACUAUCCAUUAAGGUUGGUCUGAAAAGAAAAGGGUGGUCUAUCUUGGAAAACAUAUUUGGUUGUUCUCUUUUUCUUCACUCUGUCUACAUUUUGGAAAUAUGAGUGCUAUCAUUGUGUGAGAGGUUUCUUUAUUGACAAAAUUAAUUGGAGUUCAACAUUUGAAGAAGUCUUUCUAUGACUGUCCCUUGAACUCCAAAGGUUUGCACUCCAUCCCUGUGCCAAACAAAUAGAUGCUUCUUAUAUAUUUUUCUCUGGAAUUGAGAAAGUAUUGAUGCACACUUCUGUUAAAUGCGUUAAAUUACGGCUUUGAAGCCAAUUUUGAAUGGAUAGCUGGCGUAGAAACUGCCAUUAUUGAUGAAAUUUGAUACUACUGAUGAUUUUUAAUUUUAAUUUUAUAUUAUUAUUAAUUUCGUAGCCUAAUUAUGUUCAAUAUCUUAAACUGAUAUUUGAAAUGAGAAUUGAAUAUUUAUCUUUUUUUAUUUGUUUACUGACUAUUUCAAAUAAACUCGUUAUGAAGGAUGGAUGUUUGUGGGAUACCAAUGGGCACAUUUUCUAUUCUCCUCUUCCUUGCUGUGUCCCUUUGCCUGGAUUUGAAAACAUACGGUUUUGUGUUUCACAAUAUGAUGACAAAGACAGAGUAUUGUUAAGAAAUCUGUGUUUUGUACUUGGGGCCAAGUUUGUGGAGAAGCUGACAAAGAAGGUAACCCAUCUAAUAUGCAAGUUCACCGAUGGACAAAGUAUGAGGCUGCUUGUAAAUGGGGGAAACAAUGCAUUACAGCUGAAUGGAUAUAUGAGUGUGUCAGCCAGGUACCUUUGCGAUUUUGUUGCUUUUCAAUUAAAUAUGUUCACGUACAUGCAUAUCCUGAUAGAAUUCUAGACCCAUUGGUGUAUCCUUCUAUUAGGAUUGAUGUUUUUUAUGUUUAAACUUUUGGUUUCCUUUGCAUUUGGUUUAAUCCUUAAUGGUACCAGAUUUUCCCGCCAGACUGUUCGCUUGUUGGUCAAGACCAUUCAGAAACUUCUCCAAUUGGUGCUUUAUCUAACCAGUGGUCAAAAAGGUAAUUUUUGCCAUUGUCUCCUUGAUCUUCUUAUGGAAAGACCAUGCUGAAUUGAAGUGUUUAACAAGAACGGUCGCUGCCUGGAAAUAUAGUGAGACCAUUCAACGAAGUCGUUAUGAAAGAGUUUAUUUUCACUAUAAGAGAAAUAUUUUUUUUAUAUUCUUUUAGUCUCUACUGAUGAAUUGCUUCCUAGAACAAUAUAAUUUAUAAUUUCUUUCAAAAUAGGUUCGUUUGAGUAAUAGUGUUAAUUAUAAAACUCAAAUCACACCGUUUGCAAUGCUUGAAAACCAGUAUUCACAAAUAAAUGCUAUCCUUGAGCAUUAACUUUUUUCAUGGGACAUUUGCAAAAAUGGUAAAACAAGUUAUAACUUUAUUAUUUGUGAAAAUGAUCAAAUAAAGUCCAGCCCACCCAUAUAAAAGCCUGGAUUUGAUUAUUUUUGCUAUAUUUUCAAAAUCACAAACCUUAAAGACAUUUUUGCAAAACACCUAAACUAAUUUGCCACCCAAUAUAGUUUUCCUUUUUCAUUUUAGAAAAACCAGGUUUGGAAAUAAAGGCAGUAGGUUAUUUCUUUAAAAACUAGCCAUUAAAUAUCCCUGUAUUCUAAGUGGAUCUUAGCAUAAUGCAAGCUUUAGUGUUUUUUCGAGAAAGACUAUUAUGUUCGAACACAAUUCAAUUUUGCCUUUGUAACUUGGUUUUUGAGACCUUUGUGUCUUGUAUUUUCUCAAAGCUGAAAGAAAAGAAGAUGUCAGCAAUUCUACUACUGAAGAUGGGACUGUGGGCAUAUGUGAUGGCUUUAGUGAAACACAAACAGAGUCUCAGGUGUGUGGCCAUUUUUCUUUUUGUGAACUAUAACUCUAUCAAUUAUAGUAAUUUUUUUUAAAAAAUUGCCACCAUUUUCGUCAACUUGAUUACAAGAGGACUAAAGAACGAACUAUAACUCAUAAGAUUUUUUAUGGAGUAGGAAUUAGGGUAUUAUGGUCAAAUUCUUAAUAUAUUAGGAUUAGGAUUAGUUUCUUUUAUUAAUUAGGAUUAGUUUGAUUUUAAUAGAGUACUUGUCUUCUUGUAUUCACAAAUUUAAAUAUUAAUAAAAUUCUCUCAUUUGGUCUACAACAAAUUGUUAUCGGUAUUAGAGCAAACGUUUGGACCAACUUUGAUUGCCAUCGGUGGAAAAUUGGAAAUUUUUUCGUGAUGCUGAUCAGAAGAGGAGCCUUGUGAGUUGUUCGCAUUGCUAAACAACACACAUCUAACUGGGGGAACCCUUAAAAUUAAAAAAGAAAGAAGAAGAAAGAAAUUCAUCCUAAUUUUGCAUGGAUGCAUUUGUACACAUCAAGGAAGACAGUGUGAAGAAAAAAUAUACUAGUUGGCUAGUUGGUAUAGGCAAGAAACUCAAAUUUCCUCCCAAAUGAAGAAUUGGAGUUCUGAUUCAAGUGAUUCAAAAGAAGAAUUCUAACACAAUAAUUUUGCUCGUGCUUGAUUUUCUCAAAGAACCUAUCAUUAUCCACAUUUGAAAUUUGGUUACAGUGAUUCUAGCGAUUUCAACAAAGAUUCUAAUGCAGUUCGGAACAAAAUAACAAGGAUGGACGGUGGUAAAAAUAUCAAGACAGAUGGAACUUGUCUUGAUGAACCUUUCUUAAUGAGAAGAGGAAAAGUGAGAACAUUUUUUAUGAAAUUUGAUACUACUGAUGAUUUUUAAUUUUAAUUUUAUAUUUAUUAUUUAUUUCGUAACCUAAUUAUGUUCAAUAUCUUAAACUGAUAUUUGAAAUGAGAAUUGAAUAUUUAUCUUGUUUUUAUUUGUUUACUGACUAUUUCAAAUAAACUCGUUAUGAAGGAUGGAUGUUUUGUGGGAUACCAAUGGGCACAUUCUCUAUUCUCCUCUUCCUUGCUGUGUCCCUUUGCCUGGAUUUGAAAACAUACGAUUUUGUGUUUCACAAUAUGAUGAUAAACACAGAGUAUUGUUAAGAAAUCUGUGUUUUGUACUUGGGACCAAGUUUGUGGAGAAGCUGACAAAGAAGGUAACCCAUCUAAUAUGCAAGUUCACCGAUGGGACAAAGUUUGAGGCUGCUUGUAAAUGGGGCAAACAAUGCAUUACAGCUGAAUGGAUAUAUGAGUGUGUCAGAUAGGUACCUUCACGAUUUUGUUGCUUUUCAAUUAUAUAUGUUCACGUACAUGCAUAUCCUGAUAGAAUUCUAGACCCAUUGUGUUGAUAUUUCUUCUCUUAGAUAUGGAAUGAUUUUGUUUGAAUACAAAACUUUCAGAGAAAGAUUGUCUCUCUUGAUUUGUAUCGCCCAAAAGAAGUUAAAGCUCAAGACAGAGCGACAGGCUUAUGCACUGUCAGCCAAUUUCCUACUCAAGCUGCCCCAAUGAUAGCCAAUGAAAGCAUAUCCCAGUUCCUAUCCAUUCUGCCAUUCCGAGAGACCAAUCAGCUGGAACUAACAGUAGCUUUAUAGGAGCAGCUGAACGAAUAAGUUCUAUGAAGAAAAGCGCAAGUUCUUUGACGAAGCCAUAGAAAAGCAUUCACUUUUGUUGGAAACAGAUCCACUCAAUCUGACUGCAUUUUGAAUUCCACAAAACAAACUACAUCAAAUUCUUCUGUAGUAACUUCACACGUUCCUGAUGUCGCUUCCGCAAUUGAGGACUUGUUGGAGCAGACAACUAAGGUAAAAUCUGGUUUGAGCUACAAUUCCAUUUUUAUUUUAUUUUUUCCUUCAAAUCCUUUUGUUUUCCUUUCUUUUUAAGAUUCAAGAUCAGAAGUCACCUGGAAAGACUGGCUGCGAUAAAAGUAUUAUCCUUCUAUUAGGAUUGAUGUUUUUUAUGUUUAAACUUUUGGUUUCGUUUGCAUUUGGUUUAAUCCUUAAUGGUACCAGAUUUUCCUACCAGACUGUUCGCUUGUUGGUCAAGACCAUUCAGAAACUUCUCCAAUUAGUGCUUUAUCUAACCAGUGGUCAAAAAGGUAAUUUUUGCCGUUGUCUCCUUGAUCUUCUUAUGGAAAGACCAUGCUGAAUUGAAGUGUUUAACAAGAAUGGUCGCUGCCAGAAAUAUAGUGAGACCAUUCAACGAAGUCGUUAUGAAAGAGUUUAUUUUCACUAUAAGAGAAAUAUUUUUUUUUAUAUUUUUUAGUCUCUACUGAUGAAUUGCUUCCUAGAACAAUAUAAUUUAUAAUUUCUUUCAAAAUAGGUUCGUUUGAGUAAUAGUGUUAAUUAUAAAACUCAAAUCACACCGUUUGCAAUGCUUGAAAACCAGUAUUCACAAAUAAAUGCUAUCCUUGAGCAUUAACUUUUUUCAUGGGACAUUUGCAAAAAUGGUAAAACAAGUUAUAACUUUAUUAUUUGUGAAAAUGAUCAAAUAAAGUCCAGCCCACCCAUAUAAAAGCCUGGAUUUGAUUAUUUUUGCUAUAUUUUCAAAAUCACAAACCUUAAAGACAUUUUUGCAAAAUACCUAAACUAAUUUGCCACCCAAUAUAGUUUUCCUUUUUCAUUUUAGAAAAACCAGGUUUGGAAAUAAAGGCAGUAGGUUAUUUCUUUAAAAACUAGCCAUUAAAUAUCCCUGUAUUCUAAGUGGAUCUUAGCAUAAUGCAAGCUUUAGUGUUUUUUCGAGAAAGACUAUUAUGUUCGAACACAAUUCAAUUUUGCCUUUGUAACUUGGUUUUUGACCUUUGUGUCUUGUAUUUUCUCAGAGCUGAAAGAAAAGAAGAUGUGGGCAAUUCUACUACUGAAGAUGGGACUGUGGGCAUAUGUGAUGGCUUUAGUGAAACACAAACAGAGUCUCAGGUGUGUGCUAUGCAAUCCAGAAGGGGGAAUGCAACUAUACCCAAUUCAUAAUUGUAUUUGGAACACUAAUAAUUUUAGCACAAAUUCCAUCUUUCCAUUCUCUAAGACAUAUAAACCUUAUCCCUCUCACUCUAUACCUUGGCUAUAGUGCUCUUGCAACAUAUUAAAAUUCUCGUAAUUAAAAAUUCAUACACAAUUUAAAUUAAAUUAAACAUCAAGACCCCUGUUGAAGAUGAAUCUCUGUUCAUUUUUCUUUUUAUUAAUAAACAAAAGUUUUUAGGUCCACUUCUUUCAACAACCUCCUCAGGGAUCCUUAAUUAUCUCUUUCCAUGUUCAUAACUACUCUAGUCAUGCAAAGAUUAGGGUUCAUGGCCAAUCAACAAUUAAUCUGUGAUCAAGAUAUUAUAAACGUUAUUCACAUAAAAACAUGAAAAGAUUAAGAGCAAAUAAUCAGAUGCAUUACAAAGAGUAAUUCAUAAACUUUGUCUUCAUCUAUCCCUAGGAUUAAGAGUUUAGCUACCCCAUACUUCACAAUCUAAAACACAAAACUCAAUACAAAACCCAUAACAAAAAUUAAAGGAGAAGAAAAAGAAAAAGAAGAAGAAAAGCUAGUGAUUCGUAUUAUUAUCAGACUGUGUAUAACAGUAUGUGUUUUUAAUAUUCUUUUUUCCAGCUCCAGUGUACCAAAAUAUUAUCACAAACUCCACAAUCCUUCUCUUUCCAAUCCCUAAACUAAAAGAUAAUAGAUUUAAACAAUAAAUCAAGUUAUUCGAGGUACUUGGAUCCUCCCUUCUUGAGAUCACAAUCUCAAGCCCUAAAACCCAAAUAUUGCUUCUCUUCUCCAUUCCCCUAUCCCUCUAUUUAUAACCAAAUGUAACCCACUCCCUAACUAUUUAUGCCCUCAAUACCCAAAUAACCCCUAAUACCGAUCCUAUUCGUCUCAAGGUGGUUUCAAAAUGUAGACCAUUUUGGAGGGGGCAGUGACUGCAUUUUUACCAUCUUUAUUUAAUUUCAUCUAUGUAGAAUGCCAUAACUCACAGGUUGAUGACGGUGAAUGGGAGCUGUAUCCACAAGUAACUGCUCUAUGCAUUGGAAAUGCUAAAUACUUUGGCGGUGGUAUGAAAAUUGUGCCAAAUGCCGAUCCUUCCAACAGGAGUCUAGAGGUAUAAUUCGUUUCUGUGGGAUUUUAUUUGAUCACUUUUUCCUUCCUUGUCUUCUUAACUAUGUGAUGCUUUUCUUUGCAGGUAGUAAUUCUUCAGGAUUUCAAGUGGUAUGACUUUAUUCUGAAUUUACACAAAAUAUACAAUGGGACAUAUUUGACGGUGAAAAACGUAACAUCAAGAAGGUUAGUCAUCUCUUUAAAAAUUAUAAUGUGCCUAGAUUUUCCAUUUUGUAUUUCAAUUUUCUCUCUCCAACGGUCUGUUUUAUGUUGGAGACUUGUGGAAGCAGAGGUGAAGAAACUAUAAUUGAACUGGAUUUGCAUGCAUUUGGUUUUAAAUGGGCUUUAUGACAAAAUAAUUCAAAUGUUUCUUAAAUGGGCCUUUUCUUCUCUAACUCCUUUCUACUUUUUCCCUCCUCCCCCCUUCUCUCUCUCUCAUUUUAAAAUUUCUUCCCCCACUUUCUCUCUAACGGCUGCCUCUCUCUCUUAUUUUCUCUCUCUUCUUCCCUUCUCUCUCUCUCAUUUCAAAUUUCUUCCCCCAACUUAUUCUCUAACUACUGCUCUCUCUCUCUAUUUUCUCCCUCCUUCCCCUUCUCUCACACUUUUCUGCCGUGUUUAGGAUAUCUUCUUGUCAAAUCGAACAUUCAACGUAUUUGUAAUUGUGAUUUUGGAAUUAAUGUUUGGUCAAUUUCUUUUCAUAUCCACAGAAUCAAUGAUUUUGAAGUGUUGAAACUUUCUUAUUUAAAUAUUUUAAAGAGCUAUGAGUUUUGAGGUGGAAAAGUUGUUCUCUCUGUGUUGUUUUUUCUCCCUGUUUUGUGGGGCUGUUUUGGAUAUGUUGUUUUUGGUUUUGGUUCUUUGGUGCUUUUGUUUUCUUCAUCUGUUUGUGUUGGAACUCCAGUAUGUAGUAUUUCAAUAGUAAACUUUAUUGAUGAAUAACGAUGUAAAUCCUUAGUACAAUAUAAGAAUGCAAAGACUCUCCAACUGUUUUAAUUUUAUUAAAGUACAUUAUAUUCAAUCUUCAUUUUUUUGGUUCUUCUGUAAAUGAUGUUUCUUCUAUUAUGGAUUUGCAUUAUACAGCACUGCCAUAUUAAGGCAUAAAGUUACGAAAAUUAGAAACAUACCCUUUGUAGGUGAGAAUGUUGUAUGUAUAUAUAUAUAUAUAUAUAAAUUAGUUAUCUUUUUUAGUCCUAUAUUGUAAAAAAAUAUGAUUGUUUGUUGAAAAAAAAAGGACAAAACAAUGGACCAAUGGAUCGCUAAUAUGAGUCGGUGAACGAGAUAAUUAAUUCUCUAAAUCCAUUUAAGCAAAAUUAAAAAAAAAAUCUAAUAAAAACCCUACAUGUACAGUCUCUCUCAUUUCAAAUUUCUUUCUCCUCUUCUCUAACGGCCAAGUCUCCCUCUCCUCCCCCCUUCUCUCUUGCUCUCUUGUCUUCUUUGGCCUAUCUCUCAACAGAAACCCUAUCAUACCCAUUUUGCGGAUCCAUCUCCAUCUUCUUCUCUUAGUCGCGGAUCCAAUCUCCAUCUUCUUCUCUUAGUCGCGCAUCCAAUCUCCAUCUUCUUCUCUUAGUCGCAGAUCCAAUCUCCAUCUUCUUCUCUCAGUCGCGGAUCCAAUCUCCAUCUUCUUCUCUCAGUGCGUCCUUUCCAUUUCUUCGUACACUCCAUUUUCGAAACCCUAUCAUACCCAUUUCACCCAUCCAUCUCCAUCUUCUUCUCUUAGCGCGUCCUUUCCAUUUCUUCUUCUUCUUCUUUGUUCGUACACUCCAUUUUCCCUUUCUCUUCUCAAACCCUAAUUCUUCUUUGUUCGUACAACCAAAACCAGUUUAACCAGUGUUGAUUCCUCCUCUACUUCGACCUGUGUGCUCUUUUCUUCUUCCCUCGCAAUUUCGAUUCCACCAUCCUCACCGAUUUUGGUUGCAAUUUCUACUCUCUUCAACCUCAACCUUCUGGAUUCCCUCACUCUCACCGGAUUGACUUCAAUGUCCUUGGAACCUCCACUACUACUACUACUACUCCACUCAUCAAAGAAUCCGCUGGAUUAUCAGACGCUCCUCUUCCUUUCCUUUCUAAUCCUUGUCUCUCUUUCAACUCUAGCGGUGAGCCCCGAACGAAUCGCAUUACUCCGUGAGUUCCCAAUUAAUUCCAUCUUUAUUUAAUAUUCAAUUGUCCUCUUUCCAUUUGUUUCAAUUAUUGAAUAGAAAGUUACUUGAAUGAACUAUGUUCUAAUAAUUUCAUGUGGUUCUGGUAAAGCACAGUGCAUCCGGUCGAACUUCCCCAUUAUGUAAUUUUAUGGAGGUAGUUUUGUAAAUUGGAUUGAAACAGGGGCUAUUCAAUGUGUAUGCAUUAAAUAUAGGUAUUGUUUUUCAAUUAAAUAUAAAUCGAUUGAGCCUCCGAUGUGCUAGUAAGCGUCAGAUCUCCUCUGUGUAUAUAUAGUUAGGUACUCUUCUUUUUUUUAUAGGUUCUGUCAUAUAUAUCACGGUCUGAAGUUGUAGCUGAACUUGCUUUCAUCUUUAGUUUUAUCACUAUUUAAAGGUCAGAUUUUGUUCGAUUAGAAGAAUGUAAAUUUGUCAAGGACAAUAGCAUGCUUAGUUUAAUUGUACUCAAAUAUUGUUAAUAAAACAAUUGCUUUAUUUGUGUUGAUACCAUUAUUUGUGUGGUAGAUCUCUUGAUUCAUUUUGAUGUUUGUAUUUGAAGACAUACAAAGGUCAUAAUACUAGUUGCUAUUCUUUUUAUCUUGGUACGUUUCAUUUUUUUUUAAUAUUUCAACUGUCUCUAUAAAUUGAUUGUACAAACAUAUCUCAUCAUUCAAUCACUUUUCAAGUUUUAGAUUCUGAAAUUUUACAUAUUGGGGUUUUCCUUUUUCUUUAUUUUGGAUUAUUUCAAAUCUCCAAAGAUCUUUCUUGUAACAUUUGCAUAUUUUAGUUUAUUAAAAUCUUCGAAAGUAGAGGAGAAGGCUCCAAAAGCAUUAUGUCUCUCAUUGCCUUGCCCUAACAUUAUCAUCUGUGUAAGAUGUGUAAGAUGUGCCAAUGAGUAGACCAUGUUCUUUUACUUUUUUUUCCAUAGCUUUUGAACCACUUUCCCUUUCUCUCCUUCUCUUUCAUUCUUCUUUUAUGUUAAUUGGAAGAAGCUUUGAGGCCUCUCUUGAAAAUAAUGAGGUUUUGAAGGGAUAGAAAGAGAGUGAUGGUGGGAUCCAUCAAAGGUUUGGGAUUUCACACAAUGUUCGCAUCACUCUUUUAAAUGUAAUUAGAGGUUGAGGAGUUGAUCGCCGAUCAUAGAUAAGGAGGGGCUGGUUAGUGGCUUGAAAAAGAAUUCAGAUAACAUUAAUUUUUUCUAAAAAUAAAACCAACCUUCCGACGGUUGGUUAACACUCCUCGACAGUCGAGAUAGGGUAAGACUUGUAUUCUAGUUCUGUUGGUACCUGUAUUUGUGCUUCAUCACUUCAUAAUUGUACUUUUAUUUAUCCCCUUUGUAUGUUUCCAUGUGUUUCAUGUUUGUCUUUUAUGUUUCUUCUAUUUAUAUAUUUCUUCAUGUUCUUCUCCAUUCGGGUUUGCUCUUGCGGAGGUUACACAUUCAUUGUUGUGCUGGUACUUUAGUUAAUGAUGUCUAGUAUUUUUGUUUUGCAAAUUUUCUUGUUAGUGCUCAAGUUUGAUUCAUACUGCCUUUAGCAUAGCUUUACGAUUGCAGAAUUCUUGCACAUUGCCCUUUUUUAUUUUGUUAUUACUGAUGGACUUAUUUGUGAUACUUUAAAGAAGAAAAUUUAUGGCUAUUUGUGUUGAAGUUUAUUUUUUGAUUAUUGGUUGGUUUUUUCCCUCCACUUUUCUUAAUAUUUUGAAGUGUGUAAUAAGGUAAGCAAUUUUUUAGUCCCCUAAAUUUGUUUUGUUGAUGAAUUGUUUCCUUUUUUUUUCUCGGUUUUGUUUUCAGGUUUUCAUCAUUAUUCAUUUGGUGGCUAAAUAUUACUCAUCUGGUAUUUGUUCGAUCUUAUUUUGUUGUGAUCAAUUGAUAUACAUAAUAUGCACUAUAAAUUUGUUAAAUUUUUGGAUUAUUUGCUUUUUUAAUAAGGUUGGAGGAACCUCAAGCGUACGUUUUGUUAAAGCAUAUUUUAUAUUGAUAAAUUUGAAGUUGUCAAGUCUAUACAAUGAUAAUGUUAAUACGAGUAAAUUUAUAGCAAAUUUAGUUGACUUAACUUAUUUACAUGCUGGUUGCUCGGACUCUUGGAAAAACGUUACGUGCAUUUUAACCCAGCGAUAAGAGAACUUAAGGUUGUUAUGACUUACAUAUCAGUUUUUGAGAUUUUCUUAUAACUUUUUCAUAGACCUUAUUGUAGUUUUUUGUUCUUUAUUUUUGUUUGUAGGACGUUUCUAGAGAAUGCAAGACCAUGUUUGAGUGAGAAAUUGGUCUCGAUGAAAUUGAGAGUUCAAAUGAACAGCACAUACAAUGCAAGUAAAUCUACCUACUCAAACCCAUCUUCUAUUUCUAAAGCAGAAGGGCUUUCGGUGGCUGAACCAAGUGAGUGAUUAAGUUUUUUAUCACCCGUAUUAUUUGUUAUCACUAGGGAAAGAAAGCUGAGAGAAAAAGUAGAAUGCCAAUGGAAAAAAAGAAUGUAGUAAGCAGCGUUAUUAUUUUAAAAAAUAGAAAACAAAAAUUAACAUUAUUGUUAAACCGAGCCAUUCUCGAGAACAUGAAAUAGAAUUGGAUAGCUGCCAUGCAUCGUGUCUAUGAAUGUUAAGAAUGAAACUAUCCGGUAAGGUUAUAGAAUAAUCAUUCUACCAGCCUCAAUUAUGAUACAGGGUUUAUGAAAUAGAAUUUUCUUAUGUAUUGUAAUAGUAGAAGAUUCUUCGUUGGGAAGCAAAGCUUAUAGCUUUGAUGAGUAUCUAAAGGUUAUAGAAGAGCAACUGAAAGCUUACGAUCAGCUCCAAACCAAUUUUCCAGCACAAAGCCAGAGUGGAUCCCAAGUACAACGGGAAGGUUGUUAAAAUCAAAUCUCUUAUGUCUUAUUUCAUAACUAUUUAGUUUUGAUCUUAACUACAACAAUUUUCAUUUUUUUCUAGGUGAACAUUGUAUGUGCUUAGAAAUUAAGUGUUUUGAAAAUUAGAGGUGAGCAAUCACACUUAGAAACUAAGUGUAGAACCAUAGAAAUGUUACCCCAUCGGUUCUAGCAACGCCUAGUUACCGCAGUUCAUAACAAAGAAAGAAAAGAGGCUCGUAAAUGCAGACCAUAAAAAAGUGAGAUAAUCAACAAUUAUAAAAAAAACAUAUGCAAUAUGCAUUAAAAAAAGCUCAUAAAAAAUAUAGAGUCAAGUUAGUUAGGUCAAGUAGAACUUGUUGAGUUCCUCAACUUAAAUUUACUCUCUUAUCCAUUAGCUUAAGCUUCUAUAUGUAUUAGUGCUUUCUUGAUACACUCAAAUAUUUCUCUUUUAUUACUUGUUUUCUCAACUGAUAUGUAUCAUAAGACCUUUUACAUGUCUUCAUCAACAUGAUACUUAAAAUACAAAGCUCAACCUCUUUUUUGCCACUCCAUGGCAUGAGUAUCCUGGCCCAUUAGUCAUUUUUCUUGAAAACCUAAACCAGGUUAUGGAAGGCAUAUUUGAGAGUGUUUUUAGAAACUAGUUAACAAAAUUGAUUUUUACUAAUAAAUGUUUUGUUAAAAGUGAUUUUUAUGGCAUAUUAACGUUCGUUUGUGUCUAUACUUUUUAAAAGUGAUUUUUGUAACAUAAAAAGUAAUUUCCAAUGACUCGAAACAUGUUUGAACUUAACAGGUAGGAAAAAUUCAAAUGCAAAAAUAGACAUGGUAUGUUGGCUUGUCUGAUUCUUACUUGUUUUCUUUUAUUUAUUUUUUUGAAAAAUUUGAUGAGAUAUGACAUUAGUUUGUUGUUGAUUGUUCUAUCAUUAUGGUUUUGAUCUUAACCAUCUUUUUCUCUCUCUCUUUGGUCUUUUGUGUUGCUUUUGAUUCUAUAUGUUCUUAAUUUUAAUGUCUUGGGUCUUUGUCGGUGGUGGAGAUUAGAGAUGCUUGUGUUCUGAAGAAGAUAAUGGAAGAAUUUUUAUUUGUAUUAUGUGAGAUUGUUUUGAGUUUCAUUUUGCAUUUGUUGGAAUGGAAAGAAAAAUUACUCUGUUAUCCAUGCAUAGUUAAGUUUUAGUUAAGUCUACCUUGACAUUUCUCAUAACACGACCCGUCCUUGUCUUCUGAGCUAAGAGGAUCAGGCUUAGUCAAGUCUACCGUCACAUUUCAAUUUAAUGAUCUAUUAUGUUUGAUUUUUCGUGAAUUUGUGUUACUUAAUGAUCUAUUUUGUUUCUCGCUUAUCAAAUAAUUGGAAUUAAGAGGAGAUUUGUUUAACAUUUGUUGAGAAUGGUGAUGCGUUAAAGAUUCGAUUUUAUUGCCAAGUGUCUUCGUGAGAUUAUGUCUUUCGGUAGUGUUGAAAGAGCUGCUGUUUCUAAUUUUGGUUCAUUUCUUGUUAUGGGAGAUUGGUUUAAGAUAUGGAAUAAAUGUAGUUCAUUUCAGGGUAAUAAUGUUGCAAAGCUUUUUAAUAUUCCUUCACACAACCAUGGUUCCUUGUAUUCAGUCACCUUAUUUUCUUGUGGCAGGCUACAUUAAGAUAUAUCAAGGUUGGAGACCAAAGUUGAGAGGCUAAAGUCGGUAGUACAAGUUAAAGAUAUGGAGAUUGCAACAGUUACACGAAUAGUACAAUCUCGAGACUUGCCUAAAUUCUAUGAUUUCUCUCUAUUUAACAUUGAACAAGGAAGUUAUUUUCCACCGAAGCCAAAGGUAAGGCUGCUUUUAAGCUCAAAUUGACAAGCUACAGUAGGAAAAUGUUGAACUCCAGAGAAGGGUUAUUGGCAAUUAGGUUAUGGUAGUUGGAUGGUGUGAGAUAGAUACUAGUUUCUAUGUAAUAAUUUUAACUUAGUUGUUUCUGUUUGUGUGCAAAGCAAGUAAGAACUCAACAAUACAUGAGAUGAAUAAGAAAAAAAGGAGUACAUCAAAUUGCAGGUGAGAACCUUUUAGUUAUUUUUCGGUUCUAGGCUCAAGUUGGACUCUGUUAGAGGUGUUUAUUAUUUACAGCUGAGAUAGGAGCUUUUGUAUGUCUAAACAAGUCUUAAGGGAGAAAAAAAGAAUUCCUACCAAACCCUUCCACCAAGACCAUAGAAUUCCCUUGAAGAGCAGAAUACAUAAUCAUCAGUCUAAAGCUUACAGUACUUAAGAGACAAAAGAGUUGAAUUGAAAUGUUCAUCAUGUUUGAAAUGCCAACAAAGUUAAAUGGUAGAUGAGAUGUGUUGAAUUCGUGAUUGACUCAAAGUAAGUUCAUCAACAAUACGUAAUAUUUUCUUCUUCUCGUGUUCUUAUUACAGUUUCUUUUUAAUUUCUCAGUAUUUCUGUGCUUACUAGGGGUGAGUAGAGAUCUUAUACAUCUUAGAUUGGUAUUUCCAAGUGCUGUACUUUCGUACUUUUAAAGUAUUUCAUUUGGAUGUCAUCUACCUCUAAGCCUAAACGCUAAAUGACAAUGGAAGAUAUUAGGCUGUGCAGUAGGUGAUAAAUUUCAGGUUUCUCUUAGGGUGGAAUUAGAAGAGAAUCUAGGUUUUGUACACCGAAAAAGAGAGAAUAUAAAUGAUGAUUGAUCCUGUAAGCAAAUAAUGUGUUUUUGUUAAGGAGUCAAAGGGAAUUUAGAUGAAUGGAAGGACAGGUGGAAGGAGUGAUUAGAUUUAUGAAAUUUAUGGACCAAGUUACCGUGGGGGGGAAUUACGUUGAAUGGUUUGUCCAAUUAAAAAUUUCCAUUACUUUUAUGGUACCCUUAUUGUCACCAUUCGUCUCUUUUUCUAUCACUCGAGAUCCCUUCCUUGCCUUGCCUUUAUCCAAAUUAUUGUCUAUUUCUUGUAGCCAGUGAGUCCAUCUAGCUUUGCUUAAAAAUGUUAAUUACCAAAACUUUAACUACGCCCUAAUAAUGCCUUUAUUGUUUGUUUUUGUUUUUGUUUUUUUUCUCUUUUUUGAUUUAACAGUUAAAAUCGUGUUGGUAUAACGUACCACAACGUAUCUAUUCUUAUAUUGCUAUAUCUUAUUUACUUCAAAUCAAUGUCUUACCGAGCUAACAUCUUAUUUCAUGAAUAUACGCACUUACAUUCUCACUUAGCGUGGCUCUUUUUUUCAUAUUUCAAACUCACAAGUGAGAAAGAGUGUUGGAUGUUAUGUUAAAUUUACUCUCUUAUCCAUUAGCUUAAGCUUCUAUAUGUAUUGGUGCUUUCUUGAUACACUCAAAUAUUUCUCUAUUAUUACUUGUUUUCUCCACUAAUAUGUAUCAUAAGACCUUUACAUGUCUUCAUCAACAUGAUACUUAAAAUACAAAGCUCAACCUCUUUUUGCCACUCCAUGGCAUGAGUAUCCUGGCCCAUUAGUCAUUUUUCUUGAAAACUUAAACCAGGUUAUGGAAGGCAUAUUUGAGAGUGUUUUAGAAACUAGUUAACAAAAUUGAUUUUACUAAUAAAUGUUUUGUUAAAAGUGAUUUUCAUGGCAUAUUAACAUUUGUUUGUGUGUAUACUUUUAAAAGUGAUUUUGUAACAUAAAAAGUAAUUUCCAAUGACUCGAAAACAUGUUUGGAACUUAACAGAGGUAGGAAAAAUUCAAAUGGAAAAAUAGACAUGGUAUGUUGGCUUGUCUGAUUUCUUGUUUUCUUUUAUUUAUUUUUGAAAAAUUUGAUGAGAUAUGAGAUUAGUUUGUUGUUGAUUGUUCUAUCAUUAUGGUUUUGAUCUUAACUAUCUUUUUCUCUCUCUUUGGUCUUUUGUGUUGCUUUUGAUUCUAUAUGUUCUUAAUUUUAAUGUCUUGGGUCUUUGUCGAUGGUGGAGAUUAGAGAUGCUUGUGUUCUAAGAAGAUAAUGGAAGAAUUUUUUAUUUGUAUUAUGUGAGAUUGUUUUGAGUUUCAUUUUGCAUUUGUUGGAAUGGAAAGAAAAUUACUCUGUUAUCCAUGCAUAGUUAAGUUUUAGUUAAGUCUACCUUGACAUUUCUCAUAACACGACCCGUCCUUGUCUUCUGAGCUAAGAGGAUCAGGCUUAGUCAAGUCUACCGUCACAUUUCAAUUUAAUGAUCUAUUAUGUUUGAUUUUUCGUGAAUUUGUGUUACUUAAUGAUCUAUUUUUGUUUCUCGCUUAUCAAAUAAUUGGAAUUAAGAGGAGAUUUGUUUAACAUUUGAUUUGAAUGGUGAUGCGUUAAAGAUUCGAUUUUAUUGCUAAGUGUCUUCGUGAGAUUAUGUCUUUCGGUAGUGUUGAAAGAGCUGCUGUUUCUAAUUUUGGUUCAUUUCUUGUUAUGGGAGAUUGGUUUAAGAUAUGGAAUAAUGUAGUCAUUUCAGGGUAAUAAUGUUGCAAAGCUUUUAUAUAUUCCUUCACACAACCAUGGUUCCUUGUAUUCAGUCACCUUAUUUUCUUGUGGCAGGCUACAUUAAGAUACAUCAAGGUUGGAGACCAAAGUGGAGGCUAAAGUCGGUAGUACAAGUUAAAGAUAUGGAGAUUGCAACAGUUACACGAAUAGUACAAUCUCGAGACUUGCCUAAAUUCUAUGAUUUCUCUCUAUUUAACAUUGAACAAGGAAGUUCUUUUCCACAGGAAGCCAAAGGUAAGGCUGUUUUAAGCUCAAAUUGACAAGCUACAGUAGGAAAAUGUUGAACUCCAGAGAAGGUUAUUGGCAAUCAAGUUAUGGUAGUUGGAUGCUGUGAGAUAGAUACUAGUUUCUAUGUAAUAAUUUUAGUACUAAUGUUGUUUCUUUUGUGUGCAAAGCAAGUAGGAACUCAACAAAUACCUGAGGUGAAGAAGAAAGAAAAGGAGUACAUCAAAUUGUGUGUGAGAUACCUUUUAGUUAUUUUUCGGUUCUAGGCUCAAGUUGGAUUCAGGUUAUAUAGGAGUUUUUGUAUGUCUAAACCAAGUGAAGUCUUAAUGGAGAAAAAGAAAGAAUCUAUAUCAGGAACGGAGAUAAUGAAUUUGCUACAAGUAUAUUUUAGUUAUUUAUCAAUAUUUUACCCAUAAUGGAUCAUUCCUUUCAUUUACUGGCUUUUGUAAUGUAUGAUAUGAACAGAAAGAGGGGUGACGAUGUGGAACUUGGAAUGGCAAGAAAACUGAUAACGAUUUCUAUAAAAGGAUAGUAUGUUAAAACCUCUAUUUUAAAUGUCUGUGCAUGAGCAUGAUUGUUAGUGGUUAAAUAAAAUAUUCUCAUAAUUGUCUCAUGGUUCGGCGGAUGCUUAUGAAGUUAAAAAUCAAGAAUUGACGUCAGAGAAUGCUUAUUUAAAGACAUUGACCAGUAAAUGCAGGUUUGCAACAAUUUUGUUAUUGUCUGUGUUUUAAGUUUACUAAAUUUUUAUCAAAUAAAUUUUGGAAGGGGUGGUGAGCAUGCAAUAAAACAAGUUUGUAGAAUGCAUCUAUUUCGUCUUAUUAAUUUUGUGAUAUUGAGGUUUUUUGCCAUUCUUUUAUUGAAUUAUUUUUGUGAAUUUUAAUUCUUGAAGUUCAUUGUUUUAUUGUUUAUUUGAUAGACAAAAAAACCCCCUAAAUUUGUAUCAGAUAUAGUUUUAGUAAUUUGUUUUCUUAAGAUUCAUCCCUUACAUUUUGUUUAGUUAAUUAUUCCUUGUUUGGUAUAAUUAAUUUUUUUGAAUUAUUUGUUUUUUUUAUUUUUAUUUUUUGUUUGAAAGAGCUUUUGUGAUCAAAUUUCUUUAACUUUGUUUGAUCGAUGAUGAAUGAAUGAGAAUAGAGGAAGGCCAUAGUAGUUCGCAAACUAAAUGAAAUGACAUGUUUAACACUACUCAUGCAUUGUUGAUACUACAAACUGAAGAACAUUAGGUUUUCGUAUAAUGGACUUGAGAUAUGCGGCAUCUUUUGGAAACAUUACAUUUUUUUCAGUCAGUUAUGCAAGCAUGACUGUAUUUUUGAAUCUCAUUAGUCUAUUCGUAGACAUUUGACCCUUCUGGAUGUUUAUAAUUGUAGUUUGUGUUUACUCCAUUUAUUCAUUUGAUUUUCAGAAUAUUUGUACAAGUUAUAUUUUAUUUCUUCCUUAUUAAACAUAAUUGAUUUUCUUUUUUGAACUUGGCCUACACAAGCCUGAGAUACUUAAGGGCAUACAUGAUAUGUCACGUUUCUACUUUUAAGGACAUCAAUGAUUAAUCAACCAUAAUUAGGAAGAGCUUUAGAACUUAAAAUCCAGAACUCAAAUAAACAUAUAUCCUUCUACGAAGUUGUUGAAAAACGUCUUGUUAUUCAUACCUAAAAUUUUCAACUUCAGAUUCCAACUGAUGUACUCUACAGCCCUCUGGAACCUCUUUAAUCCUUCUUUCUUGCCAACCUUAAACACUCAAAACCCUUUCUAACCUCUAAAACCAUUUUGCCAAGUCAACCCAAUACGCCUAAAAAGUACUAUUCUUUGAUAUUGAACCAAAAACUUUCCUUCUUUCAAACCUCUUAAACUCUUUGAAAAAGACUACACUACCCAAAGUUUGGGUCUUACAUAAAGAAAGAAGAAGAUAGACUCAAGAUAUAAAAAUAAGGAAGUUAAUCAUCUCGAAAGAAAAGAUAUAAGGAGAAUUUCAUUUUGAUGCCUCUUGAUCUUUAACUCAUCUUCGCUAUUCCUUUCUACCUCUUUCCCCUUUGUGGAAAGACCUGGUUGGAUAGCCAUAGGUCCAAGAUUUCUAGUCUUUUUACUAGUUUGGAAAAGCCAACUAAUUCAAUUUAGUAGAGGUGUAAAACGGAGAUUGCUUGAGUUCGACGAAUGAAAGAGAGCUCGUACCCGCAACUUUUCCUUGAUUCUACACUCUUGUGGGUAAUAGACUUUCCUUCCUUGUCGUAGGUUCCUUUUGUUGGGACUUUUUCCUUCCCUCCUUCUUACUUGUUCAUCAUACCAUAGUAAUAAGAAUUUCUUAGAAAUAAGCUACUUUCUCUCCUUCAACUACUGAUCAAUUAGAACCUCGCGUCUGCACGCACCUUGUUUUUAGGACUUUAGGAAAUGGAAGAAUGUCAAAUCGAAUAAUUUGACUUUAUGUACACUAAGACAAGUGAAUGGGUGUCUGUCUUUUAGCUUUUCUUGAUAUACAUGAAUAUAGGACAACCAUAGAGUAGAUGAGAUUAGGGGAAGAUUCUUGAGACCUCAACCUUUGCCGCGACUAUCAAUAUUCUUUGAACCUCUUUUCCUUGCCUUUGUGUCGUUAGUUUGGGAAUCAGGAAGAAGCUAAGCAAGGCAUGAAGAAAUUAUUAACCAUUCUAGAUGUCAUUCAGGUUGGAUGCCAAAUACGAGAAAACCUUUCUGAAGAGUAUGAAUGUGAAAUUCUCAUAAGCAAUGAGAUAGCCACUAGCUUAACCACCAUGAGCCACACCCCGUGGGUCAAUCGUACCCCUUCAGUUCUUUUUCAACCUCAAAAAAUUGAGUGAAGCAUCAAAAUGAAAUUCUUUCACUUCGUUUUCAUCUAUUUUCUAGAGAGCUUUACAAAUAAGGUCUUCAACGCAGAACCUAAUUACAAACUGGUACAAUUGUCUUUCUGUAAGAAGAUUUGAUGGAACUCGUAGCCAAUCGACUGAGAAUUCAAUCUUAUUGUUUGCAUAAAACAGAAAAUUACACAAAAUUACACGUCUUUGUUUCCCUCUCUUCCAAGAGAUAACAGAAAGAUUCAAAUACUGCAAAAAAUAUCCAUAUCCCUCCCUCCCUUAACAAACUUAUUUAUAUGGCUAACUAACCUAUCAUUAACACAUGUCUCCCCCCUUAACAAACUUAUUCCCCUUCCUCCUGUAGUGAUAUAAUAUUGGAGGUCUAACAUUACUCUCCUCCAAAUUCACCUUGUCCUCAAGGUGAAAAUCUGGAAAACGCUGCUUCAACUCCUCAUAUAGCUCCCAAGUAGCCUCAUGUUGUGGAAGGCCCUUCCAUUGCACUAACACGUCCCAGUCUCCCGCCUUGUUUUUUGAAUAACUAUAAACCUUCUCGGGAGUAUCCCUCCAUUCAUGAUUUUCUGUUAAACAGGGAACAUCAUGCUUAUAUUCCUUGUGCUCUCCCAACACCUUUUUUUAGCUGUGAUACAUGAAAUAUCGGGUGUAUGGUUGAAUUCUCUGGUAAUUCCAGCUUGUAGGCCACCGGACCAAUUUUAGCUAUCACCUUGUACGGUCCAAAGAACUUAGGAGAAAGUUUUUCAUUUCGUUUUCUUCUGACAGUCACUUGUCGGUAUGGCCUUAUCUUCAAUAAAACCAAAUCUCCAACUGGUACUGAACCUCUUCUUCUUGGUAUCGCAUAUUUCUUCAUCUUGUCCUGUGCAACUCUCAAGUGUUCACGUAUGGCUCCUAACACCACAUCUCUUUCUCUCAGCUGUUCAUCUAACAUAGAGUUAGUAGUGUCCCUCUCUCCAUAGUAUAUCAAGGGAGGUGGCAAACGCCCGUACAUAACCUGAAAUGGUGUGAGAUCCGAGUGCACGCUGAUAUGUAGUGUAUAUACCAAUAUUCUGCCCACGGUACCCAUUUAACCCAUUCCUUAGGCUUCUCUCCACAAAAGCAACGCAAGAAUGUCUCCACUCCACGGUUAACAACUUCUGUUUGACCAUCCGUUUGUGGAUGAUAUGCUGUGCUGUGGUUCAAUUUGGUUCCUGCUACGCGAAUAAUUCCCUCCAGAAGUGACUUAAAACACCUUGUCUUUAUCUGAAACAAUGGAUUUGGGAUAUCCAUGUAACCGCACGACUUCCUUCACAAAUAUUUCAGCUACCGUCUUUGCUGAAUAUGGAUGUUUCAUAGGGAUGAAAUGUCCAUAUUUACUGAACGAUCAACACUACAAAUAAGACUUCAUACCCUGCUGCUUUAGGUAAUCCCUCCACAAAAUCCAUCGAAAUAUCCUCCCAUACCCGAUUGGGUACCUCUAACAGAGUUAACAGUCCAGCUGGUGAUAGCGCCAAAGUCUUAUUUCUUUGACAUAUCAUGCACUCCUCGCAAUACUUCUUCACUUCCUGCUUCAUACCUUUCCAAUGUAACUCCGCAGCCAUCCUUUUGUAUGUCCUUAAGAACCCGAGUGACCCCCAAAUACCGAAUCAUGAUAAGUGUGUAAGAUGGUGGGAAUCAACUUAGAUGUUUUAGAUAAUUCUAUUCGACCCUUGUACAUCAGCAGCCCUAUAUUGAUUGAAUAUCUUCCCUCCUCCAACUCUUCGGUCUCACUCAAUUUCUGCAUAACAUUCUUCAACUUCUCGUCUUGUGCCACUUCUGCCUUGAUGACUUCGACAUCGAUCAGUUUAGGGGCUGUCAACUGAUUCAAGUGUAUUGUUGGUGGUACUCUAAACAGUGCAUUCGCGGCUUUAUUCUCUAACCCCGGUUUAUACACCACCUCAAAGGAAUAUCCCAAAAGUUUGGAUAUCCACUUAUGAUAUUGGGGCUGUAUCGCUCUCUGUUCCAGCAGAAACUUCAAGGAACGUUGAUCAGUCUUGACUAGAAAACUCUUCCCCACAAGUAUGACCACACCUUUGCACCGCCAUUACUACUGCCAUCAACUCUCUCUCGUAUACAGUUUGUAUGACUAAUAAUACGCAAAUUGGUCGUUGGUUCUGGAUUAACAAGCCCCCAACCCGAAUCCAGAAGCGUCAGUUUCUAUUUCAAAGGGCAUAUUGAAAUCAGGUAGAGCUAACACGGGAAGUGUCAUCAUGGCUUGUUUCAACCUAUUGAAUGCUUCCUGAACCUCCCUCGUCCAUAUAAAUCCUCCUAUCUUCAGUAAUUGUGUCAAAGGAGCUGCAAUUGUCCCAUAAUUUUGGACAAACUUGCGAUAAUACCCUGUCAGACCAAGGAAUCCCCUUACUUCCCUUACGUUAACAGGAGCGGGCCACUCCCUUAUUGCCCUGAUCUUUUCAGGAUCCACCUCAACUCCAUCCCCUGAAAUAAUAUGUCCUAAGUAGUCCACCCGAGACUGAGCAAAGUUACAUUUCUUCCUGUUUGCAUAGAGUGCAUUCCUCCUCAAUACUUCUAAUAUUGCCUCAAAUGACUCAGAUGAUCUUUCAACCCCUUGCUGUAGAUCAAAAUAUCAUCAAAGAAUACUAAGACGAACCUUCUUAGGUAGGGCUUGAAUAUAGUAUUCAUCAAUGAUUGAAAAGUGGAUGGUGCAUUAGUCAACCCGAACGACAUUACCAAAAACUCAUAAUGACCCUCAUGAGUUCUGAAUGCUGUCUUUUCAAUGUCAUCAGUACUCAUCCUAAUUUGAUGAUACCCUGAUUUUAGAUCAAUCUUCGUAAAAACUGUGGCUCCAUUCAACUCAUCAAACAACUCCUCAAUCACUGGAAUUGGGAACUUGUCUGGUACGGUAACGUUAUUCAAGGCCCUGUAAUCCACACAAAAACGCCAGCUUCCAUCUUUCUUUCUUACAAUGUACUGGACUGGAAUAAGGACUUGUGCUUGGCUGUAUUACUCCCGAUGCUAGCAUUUCUUCCACCAGUUUCUCCAUUUCUGCCUUCUGGUGAUAUGCAUACCUAUAGGGUCGUACGUUCACUGGAUCGGUUCCCUUCUUUAGGUGAAUCUGGUGUUCUAUUACUCUUCGUGGUGGCAACGUUUCGGGCCACCUCAAAGACAUCUUCGAAGCUUUUCAACACUGCUGACUGACCUCUACAGCCAAAGUUUCAUCAAACGAGUUAUCCUUUCUAAGUCUUCCCUUCUUUCUAAAGCUCUGCAUUCGACCAAAAACCCUUGAUCCUUGUCUCCCCAAGAUUUCAUAAGGGUCUUUAAGCUGACUCUUGCCUUUGUUAGACUGGGGUCUCCCUUUAUAACAAUCUUCUCUCCGUGGUGGGUAAAAGUCAGAAUUAAGUUUUUCCAGUCUACUUCCGUUAUACCAAGAAGACGAAGAAGAUAAGAGAAGGGGAGAGGACGAGAAAGUAGAGAGAGAGAGAGAGCCGUUAGAGAAGAAGUAGGGGAAGAAAUUUGAAACGUGAGUGAGAGAGAAGGGGAGAUGAGGGAUUAAAAUAUAUUUGAAUUAUUUGUGAUAAACCCAUUUAAAACCACAAACAAUUUCUUUAUAACUAAAACAAAUAUUUUGUUUUUAAAAUUUAGACUAAAAAAUCAAAUUUUACGAGAUAAAAUUUUCAGUAACGAUAAAGCAAAAAAUAUAUAUUUUGUUUUUCAAAUAAUUAUAAUCCAAAAUUUUCAAGAAAUGUGAAAUUUCAUUUAAUAAGAUAAAACAUUAGUUUCCAACUUUGGCAAUGGAUGAAAGUAUUAGAAAUUGAAAAAUAAUUGUUAGACAUCAUGUUAGCCGUCACCACAAACCAAUCCAAUUUUCAUUCAAAAAUGUUGAAUUUAUAAUUAAUGUUCUCGAAACAUUCAUACAAUUUUUUUUUUUUAAUUUAACUUACUUAAUUGAGUUUUCUUACGAUGUUCAUGUCGAUAUUAUACGAAAAAUUGUCUUAAAUGAUAAAAUUGCUGAAGAUAUUCACAAAUAUAACAAAGUUUUACCGUCUGUUAGUUACUGAUAGAACAUGUACUAGUGGUCUAUCAAUUAUCCUCUAUGGUUUUAGUUUAGUGGUUAUUUAUCAACUCUUAAUAAAUUAAGUAGUGAUUUAACAAUAUAAUGUAAAAGAAUAUUCCAAGAAUAACCUUGGAGUAUCACUUGAAUUUUCAAAACGACCUAACAAUGCUAAACUAUAAGCUCAUAACUCAUAACCUAUCAAAAAAGUACAAUAAAACAAAAAAACUAUUUAAAUCUUAAAAAUGAAAUAUGAGAAAAAAAUGAAAAGAGAAGAAAUAAAUUUUAAAGUAUAUGUAAAUUUUAGAUAUUAAGUAAAAAAGAGAAUAUGUAAGAUGAAUUUUAAUCGGUAAGAAUAUGGAUGUUUAGAAACAAAUUUUUAAUUUUUUAAAAGUUGAUUUAUAAUCAUUUGAUUUCUUUAAAUUCAACAACAUAAACAUAAAAUGAUUUGAUUUUGAAUUUAUCACACCUUACAAAUAUUUUUCAAAUUUCAAAUCAAGAGUUAAGUUUGUUGACCUUACCCACUUGAUUGCCAUUUUGGGACUUGUUUAAGACUAAGUUUGUUUCACUUGCAUACUUGGUUGUCAUUUUAGGUCUCAAAGUGCAUUUUUCACGCAUUUUGAACUUUUUUUUUUAAUGGGCUUUAUAAAAAAUAAUUCAAAUGGAAUUGGCAGAUGGCUGAGGGCCUUCGUGAAACGUGGGAGAGAAGCGAUAAGAAUAUGUAUGUCUUAAUGGUCAUAGAAAUUUAUUAUGCUUGGUUUUUGCUUGAAAAGUUUUCUAUUAUUUACUUUAUUGAACACACGAGCACCCGUACAUCUGGAUUUGUAAGAAUAUGUAUCGUUAUAAGGUUUCCAUCCAUCUUUCUUAUGCCAUCGAUGAAGUUUUCGCUUAGAUCUUUAUCUUAGUUCGGCCUCUUUAAAAUAUAUGUUACUCCAUACAAGGAAGAUCGAAAGUUGUGAUUACCAAGUGUAGAUUUGUAUUGUAUAGUUGCCUUAGUUAUUUUUUUAAUUAUUCUUUUUAGACGUUAUUUUCUUUAUAAUUAGUUCUCUUUAGUUAAAUUUCUAUUAAAUUAUACUUACCUAUUAUCAAAUCCUUUUUCCGUAAUAAGAGAAAAUGGAGUUUUUCUCAAAUAACAAAAAGUGAUUAUUUAAGAUAGUAUGCUAAAGGGAACACAUCCAACUACCAUGUUCAGAAUAUUACCUUUGCCGAUUGAAAGUCUUGGAUUCUUGGUCAACUUUGAACGCAAAUUUUUCUUAGUUGAUUAAUAAAUAUCAGGGUAAAAAGAUCUUAUAUUGUAAUAUUGUUUUGCUUCACUUGCAUCAUACACUAUUUUUUUACACUUAUAAUAAAAAGCCCAUAGAAAGUAGAGAACUUGUGUAGAGAACUCUUCACUCUUGCCUGAAGCUACAAUAGCCCGUAGAAAGUAGGAGAGUUAAGCUUGUUAGGUUAGAAUGCGUUGGGUUCACUUGGGAUCAAAACUUGCAUAGAACUUUUCACUCACGGUCGAAGCCACAAUAGCUAGUAGAAAGUAGGAGAGUAAGCCUAUUAAGUCAUAAUGCAUCGGGUUCCUUCAGGAUCAAACUUUGGUAGGAAACUCUUCACUCUCGACCGAAGCCACAAUAACACGUAAAAAGUAGGAAAGAUAAGGUGGUUAGGUCGGAAUGCAUCGGGUUCCUUCCAUAUUAGUAUUUGCGUAGGGAACUCUUCACUCUUGGCGAAAACAACAAUUUUCUGUAGAAAGUAGGUGAGUUGAAGCGAUUAGAUCAGAAUGCGAUGGGUUCCUUCGGGAUCAAUACUUGCGUAGGGAACUUUUAACUCUUGGCGGAAGCAAAAAUAGCCCGUAAAAAGUCGAAGAGUUAAGCCAAUUAGGUUAGAAUGCGUCGAGUUCCUUCGGGAUUAAAAUUUUCGUAGGGAACUCUUCACUCUUGGCCGAAGCAGAAAAGUUAAGCCAGUUGGGUCAGAAUGCGCUUGGUUCUUUAAUAUAUUACAUGUUUGUACCUUUUCAAUUCAAUACUAGAUACUUUUCACUUGUCAAUGUGUUAUUAGUAGUUUAAUUUAGCGAUAAGUUAUUGAUAAGAAGUUUAGUUUAUAAUUCUCGUCGCAUUAGUUAGGCUAUGCUCAUCGCUUAGCCAACGUCAAUCGCCAACUACUCGAGAGGGCAAGUAGCAAGGAUAAGGCUAAUACGUGCAAGGGGGAGUUUCGCGACAAACUCCACCUUAGUGAGAUAACUUCCAUCAUUUGUAUACCAAGAGAUGAACAAGUGUGGACAUUAGGCACCGAGAGGUUGUUGUCCUUAAUUGCGAAGCUCUAUACAUUUUAUAAGUGAAAUCUUCUAGAUAUAUCUCUCCUAAGCACACUUAAUCAUAUGGAUUCUGAGAGGUGACCAUAUGUGACGUUUAAUGACUCUGAGAGGAGCACUUCUUAAUUAUAAGUUAGUUGAGCGAGAUAUAUCCUAUUAAAGUUGUCGUGUUACUUAAUCGCAUUAUAACGCAAAGACAUUCCUUUGCUCUUUCUUGCAUACAAGUUAGUUCCCAUUUCUAUUUUGUCAUCCAUAUUCCCAAUCUCUAAGCGUAGAUAUCUAGUGGUAGUUUGUUCUUGUAUUUCUUUUAUACCAUUCGUUAUUCUUUAAUUCUUUUAUACUGCCUAGAUGAUAAGUAAUACCUAAAAUUAAUAUCUUGAAUCAAUUCCUUAUGUUCGACCUGGGAUCACCCCGGUAAACCUACCAUUUCACUUGCACUUGGACAAGUAGUAAGAAAACUUGUACUCAAGAGGACUUAGUUGCCACACGAUAUGAAGGUCUAGUGAGCAAUUCACAUGCAGUUAACAUGCUUAGUGAUAUAUCGCCUAGAUUGAGUAUAAUUUUCAUUCACCAUUUACUAACACUAAGUCCUGAUUGUUGAAGAGAAACAACACCUCAAUAACCGGAGCGAUCGACUUCUAUCUUUAGUUAUUCGAUCUUGAACCUUAAUUGCACCGAGAGAUGGCCUGGGAUGAAACAAAUUUACCUUUAUUUUAUUCAGUCUCGAGCAUACAUUGUCCUAAGAUGCUACAUUAUGAAAGACUUCUGCCUUUAGUUAUUCGAUCUCAGGCCUUAAUUGCACUGAAAUGGCUCGGGAUGAAAGAAUUCUGUCUUUAUUUUAUUUAAUCUUGGGCAUACAUUACAUUGAGAUGCUCCGAAAUGAAAUUUUUUUGCCUUUAGUUAUUCGAUCUCGACCUUAAUUGCAUCGAGAUGACCCGUUAUUAAUAAAUCACAAAGAAGAUAUAAAUCGCAAGAACGUCUAUGGAAUUUGUGAAAAAAUCUCGCAUCAUGGACUUUUCUUAUUUUGUUAUACGAACCAUAAAUAUUUUGGAUUUUUCUACAUUUAUGUAAAUUACUCUUAAAUUAAUCUAAUUAUAUUUAAUUGGAAAUCACUGCCACUUGGAUAUAGGAAUACGGGAGCAUCCCACAUUCUCUAAAUAACACCCACAUAUGGAAGUUAUUAUCUUAAUUUAAAUUAAUGAUCACAAAUAGCAAAAAAAAGUUAAAACUAUUUACAAAAUAUAGCUAAAAAUUGAAACUAUUUACAAAAAAAACUCAAAUGUGCUAUAGAGAAUUUAAUUAUUAUGCUAAUUAGUUUCAAUUUAAUUAGUAUAUUUGAAAAUUCCACUUAAAUUUGAUUAACACUAAAAUAAUUAGUUAAUAUAUAAUAAUUAUUUAAAUCACAUUUAAUUAAUAUUUCAUUUAAAUCACAUUUAAAUGAAUAUCUCUCACAUAACCAAUAGUUUUAAUUUAAUUAAAUAGAAUUAAACUAAAUUAUUAAUUAAUUCUUCAAUUAUUUAAUUUCUAAAUUAAAUAUUUUAUAUUUGAUUUAAUAUAGAUUUGAAUCAUACUCAUAUAUGAAUUUCUCUCAUAACCUAUUGUUUGAAUUUGUAUCAUAUACGUAUUAAAUUUUAAUCUAUAGUUUUAUUACAAAUUUAAUUCAUAUUAAAUUAAUAUUUGAACUCAUUCAAAUAUUUAUUAUUUCAUAAAUUAAUUUUAAAUCAUAUACAAAAUUAAAUUUAUAUAAUAAAGUUCAAUUAAAAGAUAAAUUUUAUAUUAUAAUAUAUCACCAUACAUUAUACUAAUUUUCAAAGUAAAUAUGAACAUUUCAAAUUACAGUCAAUAUGUAAUAACCUUAAUACCCUUUACAUACUAGGAAGGGACCUAAUAAAUUUACAUUUCAAAGUGAAAUCAAUUUAUUUACUUUAGUUGUCGUAUUAUCCUUAAGAGCACCUCAUGCCUCCACAUCAAUAAUCAUUUUAUCUCAUUGCAACAAUCACCCAUAUAAAUAUUGAAUCAACAUAUGGUUCUGUACCUAAUGAUGAAAAACUUGGCACUGAGCCAAGUAUUUCCCCCAAUAAUCGUAAAGUGAUUCAUCCUUUCCUUGUGUGAUGCCAUAGACUUUCUUCCUCACACUAGUAGCAUAAAAGGUUGAAAAGAACUUUUCCAAAUAUUGUCUCUACAUCUACUCCCAUGAAAUAAUGCUCCCUGGUGACAAGUAAUAGAGCUAAUCUUUCACUUCUUCGUGUUACGAGAAGGGAAAAGCUCUCAUGUUCGUCUGCUCAAGGGUUAUAAUGUGAGGACUCAUUCCAUUGCAAACAAUAUGGGGCUCGGCUAUCGAGAAAUAUACUACGACUGAACCCUAAGUGGAAGUCCAUAAGUUCACUUUAGCAGUUAGCUAAAUGAAAAUCUACUUAUAAUAUGGAGCAAGCACUAGAAGAAAUUUGCUCUUUAUUGUCAGUUUAGAACCGACAUUAAUGGCAUUUGGUGUCAGUUCGGAAUUGACAUCUAUGCUAGCGUUUUUAAAGGCCUUUAAUGUCAUUUUUGCUUUGAUGUCAGUUUAAAAAUGACAUCAAAUGCAUCAUUAAUGGCCAUUGAUGUCGGUUUUAAAUCAACAUUUUUUAUGGCGUAAUUGUUGACCUUUACUGUCGGUUUUCCUUUAAUGUCGUUUUUAAACCGACAUCAAAGCCUUGUUUGUUUUUUUAAUUUAUUUAUUUUAAUUAUUUUUCAUGGUGUCGAAAUCGACAUUAUUUGUUACGAAUUACGACAUGAAAUGUUCGUCAUCGAAUAUUAAAAAAGUAUAAAAAAUAGUUGUUGCAUGAUUGCUAGCUGUCUACCACUCCAUGGCAAACCUUAUAUAUUACUUCCAUAUUUCACCUGCAAGGCAGAAGAUCAACACCUACAAAACAAGCAUACACUUCCACACAUCCAAUGGCAAACUAAUACUAUUUCUAGCUAUAUAGAAUUCAAACCUACAAAACCAGCACAUACACUUCCACACUUCGAUGCAAACUAAUAAUAUUUCUAGCUACAGAAUUCAACACCUAAAAACCCAACAUAUAUGCAUUUUUCCACACUUCCAUAGCAAACCAAUAUUUCCAUUUCACCUACAAGGAAGAAGAUCAACACCUACAAAACCAGCAUACACUUCCACACAUCCAAUGACAAACUAAUAUAUUUCUAGCUAUAUAAUUCAACAUGUAAGAAACCUACAAAACCAACACAUACAUUUCCACACUUCCAUGGCAAACCAAUAUUUCCAUUUCACCUACAAGGAAGAUCAACCCCUACAAAACCAGCAUACACUUCCACACAUCCAAUGGCAAACUAAUACUAUUUCUAGCUAUAGAAUUCAACAUGGUAAGAGGCCACAAAACCAGCACAUACACUUCCACACUUCCAUGGAAAACUACAAAAAUACACUUUUCCACACUUUCAUAAUACUACAGAAAUACACAUAUCAAUCAAGUAAAUAAUAUGUAAAGUAUUAAAGUAUGUGUACAACAAAUUCCUCCACUAAUACACACUUUCCACAUAGUACUACAACAAAUACACUCUAAAGUCAACACCUAAAACACUACAAUACAACACCUAUUCAUAAACUACUACAAGCAGAAAACCUGAAAAUUAAAGUAUGUACAACAAGUAGUACUAGAAUCUCGUAGCUUAUAUAUUAAAACAAUUAGUAUUAGUACUAGUAACUUAUAAACUACAAAAAAAAGUGUAAAAGCUUACACAAAUCGGCUAACAAAGCUUGCAUAUUUUGUUCAAAUCUCGUCAAUCUCCUCUUGCGUAUAUGCACUUUUUUGUAUUAAACUACGCAAAAAGAAAGGUAUGGAAAGAAUAAGUUUAGAUAAUUUAUGUAAUUUGUAACAUAUAAAAAGUGAAAGUAGAAACUUACAAGGCUAGUGAUGGGAGUACUAGAAUUAUGCACGAUUUCAUGUAUAUACUUUUGGACAUAAUACCCACACCCAACCGAAUCCAAUUGACGAGGACACUGCAUGUAUAUAAAUUACAUACAAAUUAUUCUUAUGUUUCAUUGAAAAUAAUUAUGUGUCAAUGCAAAUUACCUUUAUAGGUUUCCAUUUCGGAUUUGACCGAUAAUGUUGUAAAUCAUGCUUAGCUUGCCAUGUUUUUAAUCCUCUAUACAUUUGGAAACAUUAGAAUUAGAAGACAAUGAAGUCAAAUAAGAAGUAAAUCAUAAGUCACAUUUAUGACUCCAUGGAUGUCUUCGUUAACUUUACUUUGAAGAGAGUCCAAAACAUAAACACAGUUCUCUCGAAGAUCGAUGACAUGCAACAUCCAAUGAAAACUACAAUAAACAUCUUCAAUGUGAGUAUACAUUUAACCUCAAUGAAAAACAUAAUAAUGUUUAAUCUUAUUUAUUUACCCAGUAUUAUACGGAAUUAGAACUAUUUGUUCCAAGGUAGCCGCUUCUAACUGGUUGGCAAAAUUUCUGGAUCGAAGAUCACGAUCCUUGAUAUGUGAUGUUAUUUUUGCUUGGUCAUAACAAAAAACUUGCUUCCACAAUCACAUUCAUCCCAAAGAUAUCUAAGUAAAAGCAACCUUAGUUAAAAAGGAACAAAAUAACUAUAGCUAUAGUAUUGGACAUAAAGAUGAGUAAAAGAUGUUUACUUACGUAAUGUAUGCUAGGAUGCACAUAUAGCCUAUUUCUACCAUGCCGCAAUAAUGGAGCAAGUCCUAACGAGCUAAAUAAAUGAAUUUGUUUUUACCGAAUAUUAGCUCGUUCAUUAGGAUGCGAACCAUAUCUACAUCCUUCAUAUUGUUCACGACAUGUCCAUAUAAGAGCUUAAUGGUUCCAUUAACAUUUAUGUAAUUUGAAGAAUACAGAACAUCCUUUGGGGUUGAAUGCUCCAAGCACAAACAAAAUAAUAUCAAAACCUAAAAUACAAUCACAAAUAAAUAUCAAAGCUUCAAUAGCACAUAAACAAGUCAACGAGGUCAUUCAACAAUAUUACCUAAUGCUUGAUUUAAAGUCUCUAUCUUGCCCUUCACUGGAAUAGGUAAACUACAAUCUCCUCCUGUGAGCAAGUCCACCAAGAUUUUAACAUUGGGACCACCAUUGCUAUCAUCAAGUAUGGUUGCUAUUGCAACAAUAUUAUUAAUCGUUCCUAUAGCCAAUUUGCACGGUGUUUACUUUACAAGUAUUAAAAGCAUCAUUAAGAACAAUUUAUCCUAUAAACAUUAAAAUUUUAAAAGUGACAACAAAGUUAAUUACCUUCACUUCUUCGUUCAUAGGUGUGUUGCCCAAAUCCUCAUCGGCAUAGAGAUCUAUGUUAACACUUCUGAUGGACGAUCUCAAGUGAUUAUGACCCUUUUUGUAACUUUUGCUUUUUGAGUCAUCUUCUACAACUUGAGAACUUGCAAUUUUCUCUUUCCCUUUCACUGUCUUGAAAUAUAGUGAUUGAGAGACAAAACCACCCAUGCCACGUACACGUCCACCAUGCUCCUUAGAGCCCAAUGACUCAGUCAAUAUGUCCUCAUCUCUAUGUGUUUCAGCUAAUGCAUCCCAUAGAACAAUACAAGUAUUCAUCAUUAACUAAGUUAACAAAAGAUUAAAUAUUGUAUAUAAGUAAAUCGCAAGCAAACUUACGAUUCGAGAGACACAAUCUCGAGUAGCAUCAUCAAAAUAAUCAUUGUUUUUUCCUUUUCUUGCACACGCACACGCACACACCCACACGCACACGCACACACCCACACACACACGUGCACACACACGAACACACGCAUGAACGCAUGCACACAUCCACAGACACAUGCACGCAAACACGCACGUCCACCCAUACGGGCACAUGCGCACUCACACACACGCACACCCACCUACACGGGCACAUGCACGCACGCGCACAAAUGCGCAUGCACACGCGCGCGCGUACAUGCACAUGCACACACACGAACACAUACGCACGCACACACAUGUGCACACACAUGCACUCGCACACGCACACCCACCCACACGGGCACAUGCGCACUUGCACACACGCACCGACACACAUGCACGCACGCGCACCCACAUGGGCACAUGUGCACUCAUACACACACAAGCACAUGUACACCCACCCACAUUGGCACACGUGCACUCGCACACGCACAUGCAUACACCCACACACACACACGUCCAUGCGCAUGCACGCACACGAACACACGCAUGAACGCACACACACAUCAAGACACGCACGCGUACACACACACACAUACAUGUACGAACAUACGCACACCCACCCACACAAACAUAUGCGCACUUGCACACAUGCACACACACACCCACACACAUGCACGCACGCGCACAUGCACACUCAUCCACACGGACACAUACGCACUAACACACACGAGCACACACACCCACACAGACACACGCGCACUUUCACACGCACACACAAGCACACGCAUGCGCACACGCAUACGUACACACCCACAUACAUGCGCAUGCACACACACGAACACACGCAUGAACGCACGCACACAUCCACACACACACACGCACGUACACAUGCGCGCACACAAUCACCCACACGGGCACAUGUGCACUUGCACACACCCACCGACACCAUGCAAGCACGCGCACAUGCACAUCCACACACACGGACACAUGUGCAGUCACACACACGCACGCACACACACUCAUAUGGGCACACGCACAAUCUCACACGCACACACAAGCACACGCACACACACAAGCACAUGCACAUGCACACACACGAACACACACAUGAACGCACGCACAUUCACACAUGCACACACACAUCACACAUGCACACAACACACACACAACGCACACGCACAUCAACCCACACGGGCAAACGCGCACUCGCACAUAUGCACACACACACGCACACACGUACAUAUGCACAAAGAUGUGAAAAUGAAUUAAAUUUAAAAAACAAUUACAUUAAUUGUGUUUAGAAUAACUUUUAAACUAUAUUCAUUUAACUUAAUAACAUUAAUUAAAUUAUAAUUUUUAUUAAUAUUGAUUUAAGAGUGUCAUUAGUGUAAUUAUAUCAAUAUAAUGCGGUCUUAUCCAAUUUUACCAACAAAAAACAAGUCAAAUAUGAACUAGUAAAUCCACACUCUUUGUCAUAAGAGAUAUAAUAACGUUUUUAUGGGUCAUUUUAAAAAAUGACAAAACAACUUUUUCUUUUGAAUUUUAGCAAAUAGCAUUUUUUAUCUGAAAAAGAUACAUCAACCCAUAAUACAUCAACCCAUAAUAACGUUUUUAGAUCCGUCCCAAAACGAUCAAAAUGGGGGCCACCAAUGUCGUGGCCUCAAAAGAAAUUACCUAGCCCAGAAAAGUGUCGGAGGUCUCGAAAGUUCAAAUCCAGCUACUAGGUGGUCUCAUCUCGAGAAGGUUCAGAGUUUUUUUGCCCGCAAAAGCCGAACGGUGAUGCCCAAGGCUCUGCUUUUUAGUUCUGUCCCAAAACGACGAAAAUGGGGCCACCAAUGCCAUGACCCUAAAGAAAACUACCCAAACCAAAACAUGGUCGGAGAUCUCAAAAGCUCACAUCCACCUACUGGGUCGUCUCGUCUCGAGUAGUGUUAGAGUUUUUUUUUUUUUUUGCACACAAAAGUCGAACGACGAUUCUCCUUGUUUCGCUUCUUAGUUUCGUCCCAAAAUGCCGAAAAGGGGGUCAUUAAUGUCGUGGCCCUAAAGAAAACUACCCAACCCAGAACAAUGUCAGAGGUCUCAAAAGUUCACAUCCAACCACUGAUGGUCUAGUCUCGAGUAGUGUUAGAGUUUUUUUCCCGCAAAAGCCGAACGGAUGCCCACGGUUCGCUUUUUAGUUUCGUCCUAAAACGCCGUAAAGGGGGUCACCAAUGCGUAGCCCCCAAAGAAACUACCCAGCCCAGAACAGUGUUGGAGGUCUCGAAAGUUCACCUCCAGAUACUAGGUGGUCUCGUCUUGAGUAGUGUUAGAGUUUUUUUUGCCGCAAAAGUUGAACGGUGAUUUCCUUGGUUUCGCUUCUUAGUUUCGUCCCAAAACGCCGAAAAGGGGGCCACCAAUGUCGUGUCCCCAAAAGAAUCUGCCCAACUUAGAAUAGUGUCGAAGGUCUCGAAAGUUCACAUCCAGGUACUCGUGGUGUCGUCUCCAGUAGUGUUAGAGUUUUUAUGGCCUGCAAAAACCAAACGGUGAUGCUCAGGCUCUGCUUUUUAGUUUCGUCCCUAAACGUCGAAAAAGGGGCCACCAAUGUCGUGACCCUAAAGAAACUACCCAACCCAGAACAGUGUCGAAGGUGUCAAAAGUUCACAUCCACCUACUGAGUCGUCUCGUCUCGAGUAGUGUUAGUGUUUUUUUGCUUGCAAAAGCUGAACGGUGAUACCUAAGGCUCUUUUUUUUAGUUCAGUCCUAAAACACCGAAAGGGGGCCACCAAUACCGUGGCCUCCAAAGAAACUACCCAACCUAAAACAAUGUCGGAGGUCUCGAAAGUUCACAUCCAACUACUGGGUGGUCUCGUCUCGAGUAGUGUUAGAGUUUUAUUUGGACGCAAAAGUCGAACAGUGCUGUUUUAAGGUUCGCUUUUUAGUUCCGUUCCAAAACGCCAAAAAGGGGGGCUACCAAUGUCAUGUCCACGAAAGAAACAACCUAACCCAGAACAGUGUCGGAGGUCUCAAAAAUUCACAUCCAGCUACUUGGUUAUUUCCUUGGUUUCGCUUCUUAGUUUUGUCCCAAAACGUCGAAAAGGGGGCCACCAAUAACGUGGUCUCGAAAGAAACUAUCUAGCCCAUAACAGUGUCGGAGGUCUCGAAAGUUCACAUCCAGCUACUGGGUGGUCUCGUCUCGAGUAAUGUUAGAGUUUUAUUUGCCUGCCAAAGCCGAACGGUGAUGCCCUAGGGCCCACUCUUUAGUUCCGUCCCAAAACGUCGAAAAUGGGGCCAUCAAUGUCGUGGCCACCAAAGGUCCAGGUGACUAUUAUCUCAAACUUCCCUUUCAAGAUCUGACAACUCCCCAUCGCGGAGGCUAAUCUGCCUAGAGGAGUUCAGUAGUUGAAGAAGUGCUUUGUUUUUUCUCUUUCUUUAGAGUAUUAACUUAGUCGAUCACUCGAAGAGAAUUAGAUGGUAAGUUGUAUUGCCUACAGCUUUCAACCCUUUCUUCCAUAAUCUCCAGAACAAGAAACCCCAUAUUCAUCCCACCCCAAGGAAGGGAAGACCUAGUCGGCAGAACAAAAUAGGCCUCGUAGACCAAGGAAGAGUCUGAGGCUCAAGCCUCAUCCCUUGAAUAAGAGGAGGCGCAAAGAAUAUUGCGAAGAUUUUUGCUUUCUUUUGUGGUGCAAAGAAUAUUGCGAAACUUUCCAAGUCAAAAGAAGCCAGAGGAGACGAUAAAGGAGGGAGAGAGACUGACAUCAAGAUCAAGAGCAAGCCUUUCUUUUUCAAGUGUCGUUGCGGUGAGUUAUCGUGUAGUCUAUCGUGGCUUUUAACGAGCUGCUGAUGAAAAGACAAGAAGAAGAAAGCCUACCCUUGAACUGCGGAGUAUGAGUGAAAGGUUAGGCCUUACGAAAAAAUUCCCCGAUCGAAGAGCGCCUAACCGCUUGGGAUAGCCUAUGAACAUUGAUUCAGUCAAUCCUACCUCUCUCUCAAGUAAACUAGCUGAAGCAGUUCCAUUCCUCAAAAUAUGAGAAAGCUUCUCCGACUUGAGUUAGCUAGCUUUACCGUUUGUGACCUUGAAAAUAGGCUUUCAAUCGAUUAGAUAACCUCUUUAGUCGAGCUAGUCCCACUUACUAUGGCAAGAAAUAAGGAGCCCUUGCACUCCUCCUUAUUGUCCCACUCCGAGAACUAUGUUCGGAGUCUACUCUCCCCUCGAAAAGAGCCCACGUAGCAUCAACUCAUCUGGAGCUUGAUUUUCUCCACUCCUACUUACUCUAACCUCUUGAAGUAUAAUAACCUUCCUUUUAGAAAGUCUGGAAAGACGGAUGACUCCUACUGGUCAAUAUUUGGUCUAGUCGUCUGACUUUCCCCUUCUGAGCCUUAGCAAGUGAAAAGAAAGUGAGAAUUCCACAGAGAAGAUUAAGUUCAGGGGAGCGAGCAUCGAGGCUAAUCUCCUUCACUAUCUUAAAUGGGACAGGUCCUAUUCUUUCCUAAUAGUGCAUCACAUGCCUUUCUAGAUGAUAGAUGAGGAAAUCCUAAACUCCCGACUAGUCUCUAAUCCCAAGGAUGGAUAAUAUUCCACCUGAGAAAAGUCACCCAUGGGGCGGUGAAUUGGUCGUCUUUUAGCUUCUUACUCUACCCUAAGAUGGAAAAGAAAGCUCUUCUUCUUCAUGGUUUGAGGGCCUUUGGAUUGAUGGGACGGAAAGAGCAAAGUUCAGCAAGAUCCAUCAUCAAUAAAGAACACGAGGUCUACAAUCUUUAACAGAUGUCGCUCCCCUCUCGCCUUUACCUAGCCUAUGCUGAAUCGCUCCUCUUUAGACUCUUCUUUGCUCUUGGUCUGCGAGAUAGCAAGAUUGAAUGCUAGGUAGUCCUCUUUUUCACCCUUUGCCUAGGCCUAGACACCUAUGGAAGUGAGCCUUUACUCAUAAGAACCGCUACUGAUUACAUUCCGUCUAUCUUACCAGAAAGACUAUUUCAAGGAAUGCGGAAUGAAAAAAGAAUAAAAGCAUAUUCACUAGUACUCUCCAGCUGCUAUGGCACCAACCAUUCAUUCAAUCUCGAUUCCUUUUUGCUUCUCAAUUUCAUCGAGCUCUUGUCCAAUUCGUGCAAAGACUAGUUUACUAGUGUUAUUUCUACAAAACGAAUGUUCAGAUAAGAGAAACUUCAUCGAGAAAGAAAGCGAAAAUUUUCACUGGUUAAUAUGGAUAGUCCUUCAGACCUGUCUCGCAAUAUGCUUUGCGUCUUAUCCAUAGAUCUUUGCACCUUGCCUCUAAAUUAGAGUAAAAGGCAUAAAUAUAAAUCAUGAUGAUAAGGAAAAGUCAAAAUUUAUGAGAUCAAACUCAACCUCUGUGCUCAAAGGGGUAUGUACUGAUUCCCCACCUCGCCCAGAGGAAAAGAAGAAUGAAGGAAAGGUGCAAAGAGUUAUGCCUUCAAACUAAAAAAAGGCGAUCAAAAGGACAGGUCUUAUCUUUGUUCAUUGGUUCUUCCUACCAAGAAAAUUGAUCAGUCCCUAGAAUUAUAUUUCUUACUUGAUGAUGGAAGACUUGAAGCCUCAUUACUUGGAGUUGACUCCUUUGAAGCUACUAUAGAUGCUUUCGUUGAACCUUCUGAACCUGGGGUUUAUGGUAAGCUUUCCUUUCGCCCUAGGAGAAGGCUAUGUGGCUUUCUUUCUUUGUGUCUAGUAAGAGGAAAGCCGCCAAGGAAUAGGAAUCACUCAAUUCAUUCAACCUUAAGAAUCGCUUCACUUCAAGCCUUCGUAGCUUAAUAAUUCAUUCUUUCUCAAAUUCUUUGAUCAUCUUGAGCCAGCCGAUCUGGAGGACUUAAGGAUUCCGCUAAAGUUGCAAACGUUAAGAGUAUUAAGGCCACUCCAAAGGAGUCUUACCAAUAAUAUCCAUCUUGAUCCUUUAUAAAUAAAUUUCAGACGUUAGGCACAAAGAAUAUUGUGAGUCCGCUCCUCUUGAGUUUGAUUCCAAUAAUAUUUUUCAUGAUUCUUUAUAAAGCAGUUUCAAAUUUUUGAUGAAUUUUACAAUGAGCCUACCUUCCUCCCGUAGAUCAAUCUAUGAGCCUUAUGGUUGGGGCCUUUGUCCUUAUGGCAAGAGUUUCGUUUGUCCCUGCUAGUUCAUCCCUCUCCUUAAUAAAGAAAGAAGAGGAUAUUCACAACAAAUAAAGAAAAAAGAGCAGCUAAUACGGCUAAGAAAGUGCCACGCCCCGCUCCGAGCACCUGCUUGCUCAACCCGAGAUGUAGCGUGAAACCAACUGAUGUCAUUAUUCUUCUGAACAACAUUAAUUGACCCUAACUAUAACUUACUUCUAACAACCUAUAUGAAUUAAAACUUAUGUAGCAGAAACUAAGAGAAAUAACUUGAACAGCUUUUUAAACUUUAAACAGGUAGUCGAGGCUAAAUGCCAUUAAUUACAAACUUUACUUACAGACCAAACAAAAAUUAAACAACUUAAACUUAUGCAAACCAUGUACAUGAUAAGAUUAAAACCGACCCUUAAAAACUAACUAUCAACAAGUUUCACACUGCAAUCUGAAGACAACGGUCAGGUUCUCGAAUCACGACCUCUACCUGGAAAGUGAAAAAACAUUUUGAAAGGGUGAGCUAAAAAGGCCAGUGAGUGAUAGUUUUAUAAAACAAAUAUACUUUAAACAUUUCAGAAAUAUAACAUAAAGUCUUUAAGAAAUCUCCUUUAACUUAACACUUUAUAACAUUCAAAUACUUCUGUCAUAAACAAGAUAGCAGAGUGCCUUCUGUCAUACUAUCGCGUUAACCUCGAUUAAAUACUCGGUUAGGAUAGCAGAGAACUGAUCUUUUUAUUCCUGCCUGAACUCGGUCAAGAUAGUAGAGUACUGAUCAUAUUAUUCUUGCCUGAACUCGGUGGUAGCGACUAAGUGGUCAGCAUAGCUCUAUACCUCUACUGUGCACAUUGACCAUCGAGAACUCGAUAUAUAGAGUACCAUGAUUUUCUCUUUAAAAAAAAUUCUAUUGAGCUCAUGCUUUUUAUAAAUCAUUGCUUGUAAGUCUUAUAAAUACAUGCUUGCUAAAAAUGUUUCUAAACUCAUGUUAUAGAAUACUUUUUUAAAUAACAUGCAUUAAUAUUUUUCAUAAACAUAUUGAUAAAUAGAAAUAAGAUUCACUUAAAAGCCUACUUAAAUAAUAGCUCGAAAAACAUAUUAGAAUCAUUAUCAUUUUGCAAAUUAUAAGUUGAAAUAAUCGUAGUAAAUUUAUUUUUCACUCACUGAUCGCAGAUCAAACCCUUGGAAGAUAAGCUUGUCUAAUUUCCCCUUGUCUUGAAAUGACGGAAAACAACUCCAAUUAAUUCCCUUUUAUUCUAAAACAUCAAAUACAUCGCCAAAACUCUUAGAAAAACCUUCCUCAAACCAAAAUGCAUGCCCAACAUGCCAUGCUAAUUUCUUAAACUCGGCCACUGCCCAAAACCUCAUUCUCGGCCAUAACUCAGCUUCUUUAGAGCUUUAGAACUUAAAAUCCAGAACUCAAAUAAACAUAUAUCCUUCUACAAAGUUGUUGAAAAACGUCUUGUUAUUCAUACCUAAAAUUUUCAACUUCAGAUUCCAACGGAUGUACUCUACAGCCCUCUGGAAGUCCACAUUGUUCAGAACCACCAGUAUUCUGACCUUUCUUGCUUUCUACCGCCAAAACGCAACUCUCCGUUACUCAAAUUAAAUCAAAAACCCCAACUUAUAAAAUAGACUCAAAAUGAAAACUUUUAAGACUAAUUUCACUCAAAACACUCGAGUGGAUUGUGAGAAACUUAAUACUAAAUUUGGCCUAUUUAUAGAGUUCAUUGCAUGAGUACAAGUUGACACCUCAUCCUUGCUUAAAUUCACCUUAAACCUUCUUAGGGAACCUCCUACUUACUUUACACCUUAAAAUGCAUGCUAACAAGGUUUUACACCUCACUAAAACCUUAAACCGCUUGCCCUUAUCAUGCCACAUAGUUGUCCAAAACGCAUAGCUAACUUCCAAGGUCAUCUCACCUAGUUUCUCGCCCAAACUACAUAACCCAACUUAGAAAAGUUAUAACUUAAAAUCCAUAACUCUUUUGACAAAACUUUCUUCUACAAAGUUUCUCUAAAUGUGUUUUCUUCCCUAAAAAAUUUUUCCUGAAAUUUUGAGGGAAGAAAACGCCAAACGAUGCGUUCUGUAGCGUUCUAAGAGUGUAGCUUGCUCAGAUUCACUCGCAAACUGACCCUCUUGCCUUCUUUUGUCCAAACGUCAACUUUCUCAUAUCCAAAACGCCCAGCAACCUUCUUCAAUAAACUAGACUCAAAUUAUGAAUUUUCAAGUCUAGAUUGAGUGUAAUUUUCCGAGUUGUGAGAAACUCCUUUCUGAAGUUAGCUAAAACACCUAACCUCUUUAAUCCUUCUUUCUUGCCAACCUUAAACACUCAAAACCCUUUCUAACCUCUAAAACCAUUUUGCCAAGUCAACCCAAUACGCCUAAAAAGUACUAUUCUUUGAUAUUGAACCAAAAACUUUCCUUCUUUCAAACCUCUUAAACUCUUUGAAAAAGACUACACUACCCAAAGUUUGGGUCUUACAUAAAGAAAGAAGAAGAUAGACUCAAGAUAUAAAAAUAAGGAAGUUAAUCAUCUCGAAAGAAAAGAUAUAAGGAGAAUUUCAUUUUGAUGCCUCUUGAUCUUUAACUCAUCUUCGCUAUUCCUUUCUACCUCUUUCCCCUUUAUGUGGAAAGACCUGGUUGGAUAGCCAUAGGUCCAAGGUUUCUAGUCUUUUUACUAGUUUGGAAAAGCCAACUAAUUCAGUUUAGUAGAGGUGUAAAACGGAGAUUGCUUGAGUUCGACGAAUGAAAGAGAGCUCGUACCCGCAGCUUUUCCUUGAUUCUGCACUCUUGUGGGUAAUAGGCUUUCCUUCCUUGUCGUAGGUUCCUUUUGUUGGGACUUUUUCCUUCCCUCCUUCUUACUUGUUCAUCAUACCAUAGUAAUAAGAAUUUCUUAGAAAUAAGCUACUUUCUCUCCUUCAACUACUGAUCAAUUAGAACCUCGCGUCUGCACGCACCUUGUUUUUAGGACUUUAGGAAAUGGAAGAAUGUCAAAUCGAAUAAUUUGACUUUAUGUACACUAAGACAAGUGAAUGGGUGUCUGUCUUUUAGCUUUUCUUGAUAUACAUGAAUAUAGGACAACCAUAGAGUAUAUGAGAUUAGGGGAAGAUUCUUGAGACCUCAACCUUUGCCGCGACUGUCAAUAUUCUUUGAACCUCUUUUCCUUGCCUUUGUCUCGUUAGUUUGGGAAUCAGGAAGAAGCUAAGCAAGGCAUGAAGAAAUUAUUAACCAUUCUAGACGUCAUUCAGGUUGGAUGCCAAAUACGAGAAAACCUUUCUGAAGAGUAUGAAUGUGAAAUUCUCAUAAGCAAUGAGAUAGCCACUAGCUUAACCACCAUGAGCCACACCCCAUGGGCGAUCGUACCCCUUCAGUUCUUUUUCAACCUCAAAAAAUUGAGUGAAGCAUCAAAAUGAAAUUCUUUCACUUCGUUUUCAUCUAUUUUCUAGAGAGCUUUACAAAUAAGGUCUUCAACGCAGAACCUAAUUACAAACUGGUACAAUUGUCUUUCUGUAAGAAGGUAUCAUGUCCAUUUAUCACAAGAGAUCGACUUAGAAGUUCAAAUGCACUUAAAUAAUGAGAAGGAUCAUUAUGGGUAGUGCCAAGAGGCACAAUUCAAUAUGCGUGAGAAGCGCAUUUAAGAAAAAAGGUUUGAGGAGGAGGGGAGAUCCAGAUACUCGUUGGAGACUCCAACCAGCACGAUUAGUUGUCUUCCUGCUCUCAAAAGUCUACCUGGAAAUAAAAGGAAGUUUCAGAAACUUUAGGAUGAAAGGCAUAGGAAGGCGUAGGAGCGAGGGAGUCAAAACCUUGCAUUUCUGAAUUUGAGCUAAUACCUACGGUAUUUCGACCAUUAUUUCUCCUUUUAAGCCACUUAUCUAAUAACCUCAUGAAUGAAAGAGUGAUCCAUCCUUAGCAAGAAGAGCUGAAACUGGGAAUGAAUAAAAGGAAAUAAGAAGGAAUGAGGCUUCCUGCUCCAAAAGAAGACGGUAAAGCUUUUGGUCUCGCCUUUUCUCCUCUGCCUUUCUUUUGCACUCCUUUCAAAGUCACUGAUUAUUAUACAUAAUCAAUUCUAUUUCCCUUUCAUGGGAUAGAUGAUGGAAUUUCCGCAAAUUCGAUUAGGAUGAAGAAGCCCACGUAGCAGUUGUGAGUUUUUCACGGACUGACUCGUACAUUAUCGUUCUCAGCACCUCAAUAGAGGGUUCCACUUCUUAUGGAAAAAGUUCAAAAAAAAAAUCAGAACUAUGUUGUAUUUACAAAAUAUACAAGUUAUUUGGUUAUACAUUACAAUUUCUUUAAUUAUUUUUUGGAUUCAAUAUUUUUGGAGUUUGAUUCAGUAAAAAGUUGGACAGUGUAUAAAAUUUCGUAAAAGAAACUUUUUUUUAUAUUUAUUAUUAUUAUUAUUAAUAUUUUAAAGAAACUAAAUACACUAUAAGAAAUAAUAUUUAUACAAACUCAGAACCACAUAUAUGCAUAAUGCAUAUUACAACUCAGAGCAAUUUUAUUAGUCAUAAAAAAAAAAAAAAAAACAAUGAAGGCAUUCUUGUUGUAAUAUAUAAUACAAUAAUACUCAUACUCAAAAGUCAAAACAUUCAUGUGCUUGACUUCACAAUUGACAAUUGCCUUCCUAUUAUUUUCCUACAUGCCUUAAGGUCUUUCUCUAAAAUUACAAACUACUGACAUAUUACACCAGAAUAACUUAAGCCAACAAUGAAGUUAGAUUAAUAGAUAUUGUAAUGGAAGUCACUAAGUAGUAAUAACAUGUUACAACACAAAGGUAAAGCCAAAGAUUAAUGUUAGUGUUAUAGGAAAAUUCAGUUAGCUCAACCUCUAUAUGGAAAAGCCUAAGAAAGCUUAAAAAGCUUAAAGGUCGAGCUAUAGUCAGAGAACUCAGAAAGCUACAGAGGAUAGCAGAAGAAGAUGGACCACUGCACAACUAAAAAAUUUGGGAAGAAUUUUGUAAUAGCCUGUAUUUUUUAAUAUACCUAUAUAACAAAACAUGGAAAACUUAAGAAAUUAUAUGAACUUUUACAACUUACACAAUUCAACGGAAGCAAUUUAUUACAAACAAUUGUUAUGUCAAACUAUUCACUACCCUUUAUUGAACCUUCUACCUCAAAAGGGAGAAUACAAGUCAAUUAACGCUAACCUAAACACAAUUUAACUAACAAAAUUUCUCUGAUGCUCUACCAAGAUGUCACCAAGCUCUUAAGAAAAAACAAUUCAACUGCCAGAGUCAUGUCUGAUCAUGAAGGCUUUAAUACUGUUUUCACUCAUGAAAUGCACUGUUAUGAGACAGCAUAGUAUUCCUCAAGACCGAUGAAUGAAAAAGGACAACAAAAUCUUUCAUUUAAACUUCUUUAUUGGCCAAUGCAAUAUUGCUACUUUUACCUCUGGAAGAAGCUAAUAUGACAUCUGGUCUAGGUUUCCUUAUAACUUUGUUCAUAAGGUGAAGGUACCGAUGCCUCAUCCCCAAAAAAAUCCUUCUUAUAAGCCUCCCGAAGAACUACAGUUUGUGUUCUAAUCUUGUUUGAGACAUAAAAUAUACCUGGGUGAUGAACUAUGGCUUUCUUAAACCUAUAACCAAACCCCAAAUAGUCUCCCAAGCAGAAGAUGUUCUCCUUUUCGGUUUUCUUCGAGAUCGUAAGAUAAAGCAACUCAUGGAGAACAGCCACAACCCAUUUCUCAGCUUGGUCCGUAUUUGGUGCUAGAUGGAAUGCAUUUUCAUAGGGCGAAAUGUAAGGCAAAUCCUGCCACUCCUCCACCCAAUUCAUCACUUUCUUUUGCAAAUCAAAACCCCUCGGGAAACUCAUUGGAAAUGGAAUAUGAUUUAUUUUCCUUCUCCCAAAAUUUCCUUCCAGAGAUUCCCUUUUCUUCAAUUCAGAGACUGCAAGGUCUUUCCUCCAAGAAAGUAGCUCUAAUGCAAGAGGUUGUUCACCUGUUAAACAGUCUUUCACACUACAAACUUGAAAAUAUUCAGGAUAACCAGCAAGAAGGAUUGGAAUGAACCUAUAGGGUAAACCCAAAUCCCAUUGCAACCUCUCAAUAACAUAUAGGGGAAAUUUUCCAACCCCUAUGAGCAUCAAUAGUUUUGCUAACCUCUUCACAACAUCAUCUCUAUGCAAUCGAGAGUUAUGAAUGGUUGAUUCUUCCUUGUGGAGAAGUAAAGCUUGUGAGGUGAUUUUGACAUGAGGAUGGAGACCAAGACUAGGCUGGAAUUGGAUGAAAACAUAAGGGUAUAACUCGAAGAACUUGGAGAUGGUGGUAGUGGGAACUUUAAGGUUCUGAUUAAGCAAAAAGACAAGAAGAAAGUGGAACAGAUGUUAAAGGACUCGAAAUUAUUAUAUUCUUAAGGGAAAUUACUUGUUUGAGGUUUUUCUCUCUUUGAACUGCAAAAUCAAGGUAUGGAUCUCUAACCCAUUUGACCUUUGCAUCAAUGAAAGCACAAAUCUGGGUGAAACGAUGAGGGAUUAUAGUAAUUUGUAGAAUCAUAAGCAAGAAAGGUUAGAAAACAUUGUCUAGAUUGGGAAAUAGAAAUGGCUGACAAUGGGAAUCGAGAAGGCUAAACUCACCAAAUUAGACAAGAGUUUGUAAAGAUCAAAUAAUCAAAGGAAACGAAAAUUCAACUUAGACUCUGCUUGGUGGCUGCUUCAGAAUAGAGUCACCCUAACUACCCUUUAAAACUAUCACCUGAUUUUCCAUCUGAAAACACUUUGAAAUCAAAGAUUAGUACAAAAAUACUCAAUAAGAAAUUCUCAUAUCAAGCUUUGAAAUUCACAGAACUUUCUGUCAAAAUUUUUCUAGAAAGAAAACUUUCAAAAUCAAAAUAUUGCAAGCAAAUAAGUUUUAAAACCUAAAUGCUUCAAGCUGAAACUCCUAUAAUGAAUGGUAUUUUCAUACUUUUUAUAACACUAAUAUUUCAAUACUUUCAAAUGAAAAUUCUUCAAUCGGUAAAAAGAACUUUCGAUCAACAAAUACAUCCAUACAAACAAAACUUUCAAUCAUUCAGUUCAAAUACAAAGUAGGAAAAAUGCAUAGCUCAUGUAGCCCAGCAGGUAUGGCUACCCCUUGGUAAGAUCAACAGUUCAUUCAAUCCGAGAUGUCAAUUAACAAUCGACCACAUAUGAAUCGCCAUUUAAAGCAUGCAAACAAUUUUGAAACUAAUUACCUCGAUCGACAAUCAUCCUUGAAAAUUCACUUCCUUGGACAAAGAUUAACAACUAUUGAACUUCCACGAGUGACACUUAUCCCUAAGCCAAAAAUGCCGCCGCAGUCGGAAACACACACCCAGUCAUUGAAAACGUGAUCUAGAACUUGUUGUUCGUUCAUGCUGGAGUCUCAAACGAAGAAGAAACAAUGCUCCUGAAGCCGUACAGAGUGAAUGUAGACCGUCGUCGACUACAGAGCUGGGCGUUCGGUGGGUGUGGCCGCUGGAGUGUCGCCGGAGAAGAGGGUCGGCGGCUAUUUGAUAGAGAAAGGAAGACGACUGAUGAGGCUAGUGUCACGUGGUUAAAGUCUGAAGCUAACCAUACGUGCGGCACUUGGCUAACUACAAUGCCCACGUAGCCAAGUAAGCCUUUUGAGGAAGGGGUAGUGCGCCAAGCACUACACCAAUGUGUUGCAGCGAAAUUAAUUGGGUUGGUUCCAAGACACGAGAGAGGUUGGAAGGAUAAGGGAGUUUGGAUGGAUACGUCUUGGGAAUGAUAUACUGCAUUCCAAGAAUAGAUUAAUACACAUUUGGUACAAAUAUGUUGUCUCUUGCCAUGGGGCCAUGGGCAAGGAGACUUGGUAUGGCAAGGUGACCUUGCUUGGCUAACACAUGCAAAGUUGCAAGGUUGCAAGGCUUGGUACAAAUGAGGCCCUCCCUAAGUAUUUAUAGACCUUCCCCACCGACCUUGGGCCUUAGAAGGUCGGCCAAGGGAGUUUCUAGAUGAUACAAGAUCAUUUAGUACAUUACAAGGAAGCUAGAACAUUCUAGAGAGGAUUAGACCUUUUAUGACACUUCUUAACCGUCAUAAUAGCCUUCUAAAGUGUUCCAGCACGUUUCAGAAUCAUCCAGCACAUUCGGAGGCCUUCUCGGGAGCUUCUCGCGCAUUCCAGCACUGUCUAGGGCGUUCUAGAGGCUUCUGAGGCUGUCUAGGUCGAGCAUGGGCGAGGCAGCACGCACAUGGGCGUGUCUAGGUCCUUCUUGAAGCUUCUGGGAGGUUCUCGGAGCAUCUGGAACUGGGGCAGACACUAGGCUGCGCGCAAUGUUAGCAUCGGCGAGCGUGCGCGGACGUCGUGCGCGCCAUACGUGGGCGAGCAUGGGCGGCCGACUGGAGCCCCGCGCGCAGUUGCUUUGCUUGCCACCUGGCCAUACGCAUGGGCCCGUGCGCAUGGGCCUGAUGGUGGGUGCUGGUGUCGGGUGUCACGGACAUAUUUUUCCAAAGUGUACACCUUUGGUUAUAUGCUCCGAUUAUCCCCAGUUUAUCUCAUCUUUAGUUUCCAUGACUAGUUUAGGUGUUUGCUUUUCAUUCUAGAUCAUAAAUCUUGGGUGUGACGUUUCGGCAUUUUCAUAUGCAAGCCUGCCAAAGCUGAAAAUGUUCAAAAUGUAUUAUAGGGGAGACAUACCAGUUGAAUCCUCGCUCGAGCAUUAGUUGUACUCUUUGGAAGCAACCAUUUUUCCUUGCAAUUGACGGUCUUUAAUGCUUAUCGUAACGUCUAUUUCAAUUUAUUUCUUUCUUUCCCGCGUUUUAUAAAUAAAAUUUCCCUAAAACGCAAAGGAAGGUUACGACAUACGUCGACGUUACCUACAACUCUUGGAUUUUUAUCGACUGGCUUGUUCGUUGAGUUAGAACAAGUGUCGCACAAUCGUCCUUCUCGAGGUUGAAACGCUACGAUUGUGACAAGUGGUAUCAGAGCCAAAUUGGCUGACAGUUUAGACAGAGAGAUGUUGACGGUAAAACGAACGGGCAAGACCCAUGAAGAACGGUUGGUGGUGAUCGAAGCGCAAAUGCUCCACCUGAAGGAAGUUUCUGAUUCCAUCCGAUUUAUGGAAGAACGACUUGAGAAAGUUGCCAAGAGAGUCGAUGUUGUUGAUGCGGUGUCUGGUCGCCUGGACGGAUUACCCAUACAUGAUUUGUUGGCUAGAGUUGACACGUUAGAGUCACAAAUCAGGAAAAUUGAAAAUGUUCCCUACGAGCGUGGGAACAGUUCAUCAGGCUCUGUUGCCCGAAUGGAGGAGCGAGUUACAGAGCUAGAUAACUCUCAGAAGGAUAUAAUGAAGAUGAUAAAUGGUAUGACAGAGGACUUUCGAGCCACCCUGGAUGUCGUUAGAAAUGAAAUCGUAGAGGUGAACACGAAGGUGAACCUUACAAUGCGAGCGUUGGCCAAUCAAGCUCCGGCUGGAGGAGCGAUUACAAUUGGCAAGAUAAAGAUCCCAGAACCCAAGCCCUUCUGUGGGCCAAGGGAUGCAAAGGCAUUGGAAACUUUAUCUUCGAUAUUAAGCGGUAUUUUAAAGCCACAAACACCGUGGCGGAGGAAGCCAAAGUGACAUUGGCGACCAUGCAUCUAUCUGAGGAUGCAAAGUUAUGGUGGAGGUCCCGAUAUAUUGACAUUCAAGAAGGGCGUUGCGUAAUAGACACUUGGGACAGUUUGAAGAGAGAACUUCGCUCACAGUUUUUCCCCGAGAAUGUCGACAUUCUGGCUCGAUGGAAACUAUGGGAAUUAAAGCACACUGGAACCAUUCGGGAAUAUGUGAAGCAAUUUGCGGGCUGAUGUUAGACAUAUCUGAUAUGACCGAGAAGGACAAAAUCUUCAGUUUUGUUGAAGGUUAAAACCAUGGGCAAGGACUGAGUUAUACGAACAGAGAGUUCAAGACCUUGUGUCAGCCUAUGCAACAGCUGAGCGUUUGUUUGAUCUGUCUAGUGACGCUCAAGAGACGAGACGUCAAUAAAGCUCUUCACCUGGGAGAGAUCAAAACAGCCGACCAAAUUCUUCCGAAGCUGUCAGUGGAAGUAGAAGUCCCGGUAGAGACCGCAAGCCUUUUCAGUCAAAUAUGGGGAACGUGGGGCAAAGGCCCAAUAGUCAGAGGACAUCUCACACUCCUAUCAGUUGCUACAUUUGUAACGGACUACAUCGGGCAAGGGAAUGCCUAGAUAAAGCUGUCUUCUAUGCCUUUCGGGCCUCUUUAGCUGCUGACUCAGAUGACACGUCGAGUCAACCAGAGAAGGAAGUUGGGCAAGUAGAAGGAGUUCAGAAUGUUAGAGUGGGAGCCAUAAGACUCUUGUCGUCCCUUCAGAAGAAACCGAGAGAGACAAGUGGUCGUACUAAAAGGGGCCUAAUAUAUGUUGACACCUGGAUCAACCGAAAGCAUGCAAAGGCACUAUGGUUGACUCCAGUGCCACUCAUAAUUUUAUAACAGUGGUCGAAGCCAGACGACUAAACCUUCAUUGGAAGAAGGGUACGGGAAAAAUGAAGGUCGUAAAUUCUAGAGCUCUACCUGUCGUUGGGAUAGUGAAACAGACAGCGAUACAGUUGGAAGGAUUGAGCGGUUUCGUUGAUUUUGUGGUUGUAGGCAUGGAUGACUUUGACGUAGUCUUCGAAAUGGAAUUCCUUCUCGAACAUCAAGUGAUCAUAAUGCCUGCAGUCAAAUGUCUGAUGAUCACGAGGUCUACCCCCACCGUUGUGCAGACAGACCUUCGGCAACCCAAAGGACUGAGAAUGAUCUCGGCCAUGCAACUGAGAGAGGGUCGUGUUCAGAAAGACACAAGGUGUGUCAUGAAGAGAUGUGGUGAUGGGAAACGUGAUAGUUUGCCCAUAUUGGAAUCGCCUACGAAGAGUGAUUGUCGUAUGGCGCAGUCAGAGUCGUCUAAACUCCGAAGACAGUCAAGGAGAUUGUCGGGUGCAGGAUUCACUAAACCUGCAAAAGCUCCGUAUCAAGCACAAGACUGCUUAUGGAAGGAAGAGAAGGGACGGUUGAGUGUCGACAGUCGUGUCCUGAAGCAAGCCCCGAGGAGAGGGACAAUUCUUGGGUCCGUGAGUGUGACCCAACCUAUUAAAGCUUACGUUCAGGUGCGUAGUCAUGCGUUGAGUGGUGCCUAACUGUAGAAUAGACACCCUAUCGCAUUUGAGGGUCAGAAGAAGAGUGCCACAUAGGGCAAUUAUACGAUGUUUGAAGAAGAAACGUUGGCCAUAGCAACCAGUCUAAAGGAUGGGAGACAAUGUUCCCAUAGAUCAACUUUUGUUAGAGAGAUGAACAACGACGUUGCCAGCCAGUUCGGUACUCGGCCGAAUAUGAGUUUGAAUCAAGUAAGGAGAUGAAGAGUCGUGCUCAAACUUGAUUUUGGGUCAGAACGUAAGAGAAGCAAUCAUGGGACUCCACAUGUGUCGGCUCGUACACAGGCCUGUCUGUUGGAAUUUUUUGUCCUAAAACUCGUAGUUUGUAAAUCAUAUUCUGUUCAAUAAAGUUGUUUAUUGAGAAAUUAAAUAUUAUAAUCUUAAAUCCAAUAAAUCAAGUUCCAAGGCUAUUUUUGAAUAAACUUGAACUUUAUGUGUAAACAUAAACGUGGAUCAAGUUCGAGUAUAUAGCCUAAAUAGUCUAUAGUAUAUGAAAUAAAGGUUGGGCGCCUUAUUUAGAGAAACUAUGGAUGCGGCCCACUUUGUAGUACAAACGAGGUGAUCCUAAUCGUUCAUGUAGAGACAUGAAAGUGGGGGCAUCCUAUGUAAAAUGUUUACAUAAGACUGAACCAUGAAUUAGUCUUUUUUACGUUAUAACACCGUUUACUGUUUAAAACUGACUAUCUCAAUUAUUGAUGACCUAGGUAACUUAGUCUUAAUCCUAAGUUAACUAUGAACUCCUGUUCACACGAGAUUAUCCUUAGAUCUGCAUAGGUGAGGGCAGCUCAUCAGCGUUGGCCCAAUAAGCCUCCCAUUUCAGGGGUAAGAUCGGGUAGAUAGCUGGGAACAUAGGGUACAAGAUGGAAUUCACUCCUACCCGCUUUAGGGUUAGUAGAUAGGUUGUUCUCUUAAGCACUGAAUCCAAGUCUUGAACAAGGGGCCCCACCCUCUCAUUGGCCCGAGAGGGAUUAAGUUUAUAGGUUGAACCUUAAAUCAAUUGUUCAAUAGUGGAUUAGUGGGACUUAAGGAGCAAGAUGUAAUCUUGGGGGUAAAACGGUAUUUUGACCCAGCCAAGGUUACGAGCAACCUGUGAAUGAUUAAGUGUUUUUGUUCUAAUUAUUGUAAUUAGCCUUGUUAAUGGCUUAUUUUUAUUGUUGCAAAGUGUUUUUAAUUUUUAAAAAAAUAAAAAAAGUCAUUAGAGUUGAAGUUAGGCUGUAACUGGUUCAACCGGGUGAGAGAAUUGAAAAAAAAUGAAGAAAAGAAGGUCACAGACCCGAAAACCCGCCUUGACCCGCAGGCGCCCGCGCGCCCGCAUGCCUUCGCGCCCUCCUGCGUCCGCACGCGCCGCGCGCCCUCCUGCGUCCCCGCGCUUGCCUUCGCCCGACCCGUGUGCGUCUGGGCUGGUUCAAGCGGUUUCGGUUGGUUUUUCAGCCGGUUCGAAGUUUUUGGGAGUGGUUCUGUACUACACCAAAGUAAUUAUGUAAUAAUUUAGUACUUAGCUUAAUUUAGGAGCCAAAAAUCAGUCCAUUUUAGGGUGUUUUUUUUUAUUUAUGCAUGUGAUGUAUGAUUAAAUUACUUUAAAUUUGUAUGUGCAUUUUGAAUGUCAUAUAGAUUUAAAAUCCACCAUAGGUUAACAUGUUCAUGCAUUAAAAUGUAUGAUAUAAAGGUUAUAUUGUAUUGUAUGCAUGUUAAUUGAUUAAUAUGGAAAUUAAAAUCCCACCAUAGGUGUUUGCUUUCAUUCUAGGUCAUAAAGCUUGGGUGUGACGUUUCGGCAUUUUCAUAUGCAAGCCUGCCAGAGCUGAAAAUGUUCAAAAUGUAUUAUAGGGGAGGCAUACCAGUUGAAUCCCCGCUCGAGCAUUAGUUGUACUCUUUGCAAGCAACCCUUUUCGUGGCGCGUGCGGGGCCUGUGAGCUGUCCUCGAGAGGUGCCUGCCAAUGUCGUGGGCAUAUGUCCUGGUCACCCUUGGGCUGUCUCGGGACCACGUUGGGCUACUCCUGGGCCAUGCUAAAGGAGUCGUGGCACGUAUUGGCGCAAUUUUGCGGGUGAUUUUUGGGGUCAAAGCUUCACAUGUGACAUCAGGCUUACUUCUUUUCAUUUCUUUCUUUUUUCUUCUUCUUUCUUUUUCCCGUUUUAAAUUUUAUCUCUAAACCAAACUCAACUAACUCAAAUUUAUGUUUAGGAACUUGUAAUUUUGGAGUACAAUAUAAGUAUAAUUGUUUGUGUUAUAUUGUUUUUUUUAUUAUUAUUACUAUUAAAAAUAGCCAAAUUAAUUAAAAUAUUUAUAAGGUAUUUUAAAAUUUGAUAUUCGAUAGAUCGAUCAAUGUCACUAAACAUAUAAGGGCUUAUCAAUAUCUAUUAUUAAUAUAAUCUAGUAAAUAUUUUGUCGAAUUUAUUAUUUGUGACAGUUUUUUUCUAUUCUUUUUUACAUAUAUUCAAUAUAUAAAAUAUCAAUUUUUUGAAAAUUUCAUAUAGGAUUAUUAACAAGUUUAACAAAUAGAUAAAAUGAUUUUCAACAUUAUUCUAAUACUAUGCUUUAAAUUAUGUAAGAGAUAAAUCUCUAUAAAUCAUGGAUGAAUUAUUUUAGAAUGGAAAACAAUACAAAAAUGUGAGUGUUGAGCAAGAAAUUUUGACCAAUUAAAUUACGUCACAUCAUCACAGUAAAUAAUGAUGAUUAUACUUUUGUUUGAGUUUGGAUAAUUAAGUUACUCAACCCAACCCAAUUCAGAUCCAACAAAACAAAUGGGCUCAAGCCCAAGUCCAAGAAUCAAAUGGGCCCAAGUCCAAACUCAUCUCGCAAAUGGGCUCAAAUCCAAGCCCAACAAGCAAAUGGGCUCAAGUUCAAGCCCAGUAAGCAAAUGACCCCAAGUUCACCUAAAGCCCAUGAAAUGUCUAUAAAUAGAGACCACUGUCAUUCAUUUUAAAAGGGGUCUUUGGUUGAAAGAAGAAUUGAAGCUCUGAAGAAUUGAAGAUUCAAACUUCUACAAGCUCUCAAGACGUGCAAGUUCGUAUCAACUUCGAGAUCAACAACUUCUGAAAGAUUGAAGACUUGGAAGAUUAAACUUUUCUUGGAUUCCAGAAGAUCGAAGUUCAAAUCAACGUGCAACUACAACAUCCUGAAGAUCGAAGAUCAAAAAGUUCUAAGUUUUAACUUGUAUUCGAGAAAAAACAUCAAAAGAGUAAAUACUAGAGGUUGUAUUCACAAUAUUCUUUAAUAUAUAAAGUUCAACUCCACGAAAUACAUUUCUUCAAAAUCUCGUGUGAACAGUUUGACACGUCCAGUGAGACAAUCUCUACCUUUCAUCUCUUUCUCUUUUGAAGAACAUCUAAAGAAAUCAUGUCGAUUGACGAACAAAUGACAUCGGCAAGCAGCCAAAUACUCACAACCGCUCAAGGGAGACUCAAUCAUCUGCGGAAAUGCCAUCCUUUGAGGCCGCAAAGAACAUUUGGGAGCAACUGUCCAAGCCACCAAAAGGUGGAAUUAUAGUCAAAGAAAAUCCUGUGAUUGACGAACAAAUUUCCUCCUAUGAACGCUCGAAUGAGAAGAUGCCUCAUCCAAAUAUCAUGUCGAUUAUGGUGACUGACGUGGAUACAAGUGAAGACAGAAUGACUGAGCUUAAAAAGAAGAUCAACAUGCUCAUGAAGGUCGUUGAAGAAAAGGAUAAUGAGAUUGCAUCUCUCAAGAAUCACAUCGAACGUCAUGAUGCUGCUGAAUCAAGUCAUACACAUACUAUCAAAAAUACUGACAAAAGGAAGACAAUUAUGCAAGAAAGUCAACCACAAAAUUCAACCUCAAUUGCAUCAAUAUCUAUUCAGCAGUUGCAGGAGAUGAUUGCAAACUCCAUCAAAACUCAAUAUGAUGGACUUGCUCAAACUCUCUCUCUAUAUUCCAAACCAUAUACGAAGAGGAUCGACAAUCUCAUAAUGCCGAAUGGAUACCAACCACCCAAGUUCCAACAGUUUGAUGGAAAGGGUAACCCAAGACAACACGUUGCUCACUUCAUUGAAACAUGUGAAACUCCUAGUACGAGAGGAGAUUUGUUGAUAAAGCAGUUCGUUCGAACUCUGAAAGGAAACGCCUUCAAAUGGUACAUGACCUGGAACAUGAAUCCAUUGAUAGUUGGGAGUAACUUGAGGGGGACUUUCUCAAUCGCUUUUACAGCACCCAGCGUAUCGUCAGCAUGAUGGAGUUGACAAAUAGCAAAUAGCGAAAGAGGGAGCCAGUCAUCAACUACAUAAACCGAUGGAGAGCUCUAAGCCUGGAUUGCAAAGACAAGCUCAUAGAAAUGUCUGUAGUCGAGAUGUGCACCCAAGGCAUGCAUUGGGAACUUCUCUAUAUUUUGCAGGGGAAAAACCACGCACGUUUGAAGAGUUGGCGACUCGUGCCCAUGAUAUGGAACUAAGUAUCACUCGUAGAGGAGCAAAAGAUUUUUUGGUUCAAAAAAUGAGGAGUGACAAGAAUUAAAUUGAUGACACUAAAAAGAUUACAGAUAGUGUCAUAAAUGAGUCUAUGGUUGUUCAUGCAACCCCUUUGAAAUCUUUCUCUAAAAGAAAAGAAACAAAAUUUGAAGGAAAGCAUGAUAGAGAGGAAAAGCGACGCCCUUAAAGAAAGACAAGAAAAAUUUUAUCCAUUUCCUGACUCUGAUGUUGCAGACAUGUUAGAGCAGCUGUUAGAGAAGCAACUUAUUCAACUGCCAGAAUGCAAACGACCGAAACAAGCAGAGAAAGUAGAUGAUCCUAACUACUGCAAGUACCAUCGGGUCAUUAGUCAUCCUGUUGGAAAGUGUUUCGUGUUGAAGGAGCUGAUUAUAAAGUUGGCUCGUGAAAAGAAGAUCGAGUUAGAUAUGGAUGAAGUAGCUCAGACAAAUCAUGUUGCAAUUGAGAUGACUUCAAGUGUUCCGCCAUCAACACACCUUUAUGAUUAAUGGAAAAACUUGGUCCAGUUUGGGACUUUUGAACCUGUACAUGUUCGAUUCCAACAAAGGAUCGUGACAAAGAAAUCUCAAAACAAAGAAAAGCCUAUUGAAGAUGAUUGCGAAGGAUGGAUAGUCAUGACUCGUAAAAAGGGGAGACAAUCAAUUUUCGUACAAACGAAGUCGCACUUCCAUCAGAAGCAUGGAAAAGGAAGCAACUCUCGUAAAAAUGAGAAAACAAAUAAGAUGUGGAAGUCUAAGCCUAUCAAAGGAAAAGACGAGGACUUCAUCCGACAUCGACGGUCGAUAACUUUGAAAGAAUUUCUCCCAAGAAGCUUCCUUGAUGAUCAUCCAAAGAAAGUAUUAGAAGUCCUUGCAUGUCAUGUUGUCAGUAUAACAGAAGUCGACACCAAUUGUGCAUCUUCUGAAGAAAUCGACAAUUCAAAUGAAAUUAAGCAAAUGACAUUUGUCUUUGAUCGUAUCAAGCCUUCAAUUACUCAAUCUUCAAUUUUUCAAAGAUUGAGUAUGACCAUGAAAGAAGAAGAAAACCAAUGUUUAACAUCUACUUCCACUCAAACUUUAGCUUUCAAAAGGCUAAGUAUCUCCACAUCAAAGAAAUAUCAACCUUCAACAUCUGUUUUUGAUAGACUAAAAUGACAAGUGAUCAACAUGAAAAAGAGAUGAAAACUUUGAAGGUAAAAUCACUUCAUGAAGAAAAUAAUGGCGAGAAGAUACGCAGUUGUGUCUCAUCACGCAUGAAGAGGAAGUUAUUUGUUGACAUAAACACAGAAGGUCCCUUGAUCGUGAAGCCAAAAAUUAUUAUAUUCACCAAUUCUACAAAUGAAGAAGGUGAACAAAUUUUUUACGAAAAUAUUUGUUAAAUCACUACUACAAAAAUUGAAUUACUUGACAUUAAUACAGUGUCAUGUAAAUCUAUACUUGACGUUUUAAAAAGCGUCAAGUAAUCGACUGUCAAGUAUAGUUCUAUUGCUUGACACUAAAAAAACGUCAAGUACUCUAUUGCUUGACAUCAUUUUUGUAUCAAGUAAGAUAGUAUACUUGACAAUAUUUACACGUCGAGUAAAUUAUAUACUUGACUCUAUUUACCUGUCAAGUGAGAUAGUAUACUUGACACUAUUUACAAGUCGAUUAAGAUAUAUAUUUGACUCUAUUUACCUGUCAAGUGAGAUAGUAUAUUUGACAUUAUGUAUAUGUCAAGUAAAAUUUUAUAGUUGACACUAUAUAUCCAUCAAGUAAAAUGGUAUAUUUGACUCAAAUAAGAUAGUAUAUGUGACAUGUAUUUAAUGUCAUGUAUACCAUUUAUUAUAUUAAAUAUACUAAAUUUUUCUUUUUUCAUUUUUUAUUUCCUGCAUUACAUACAUUUGCUUCAAUAAGACAUAUCCAUAAACAAAACAAAUUCUCCAACGAACAAUUACACAACAAAAAAAAAGGACAAAAAGUUUAGUAUAAUAUGUAAACCAACAAUAAUUUCAUUAUUCUCAACAAUGUCAUCAACAAUUACACAAUUCCAAUCCAAUAUAGCCAACUAAAAUUUCCUAUAUGUGUCAUAUUCCAAAAUAUUAAAUGAUAAUAGUUGUCUUAUAUAAUCAAAAUUGAAGCCUAUCCCCGUAUAUCUUUUGCCUCAUAAUGGCUAUGAACAAAACGUUUCCACAAAAAAGGUUAUGAGCAUUCUCAUAUCUUAGCCAUUUACAAAAUUAACAUGAUCAUAUCUAGGUGUGUCUAUCAUAUGUACCGAGCUAAAAAUCCAGUCCACUCCCCUCGUCUAUCCAAUUCAAGCUAUGUGUAUGGGCUUCUUGUAUCAAUCUAUAAAACAUAAAAAGUAGAAUAAUACACUUUGUAAAAUAUUUGAGUUAGUCAUAAUAUACUAUCUAUAACUUUACAAUGUAAAUAGUUUAAAAACAUACCGCACCAGUGAUAAUGUUUGUGUCCUUAGUCACAAUUUCUUGCAUGUAUCUCAUGACAUAAUAUCCACAUUCAAUUGUACCUACUUGUAAAGAACACUAUAACACAACCAAUUAACAAUGCAUAUAUAUUAUAUUAUGUGCUAGAUUAAAAUAAAAAUUAUUUUAUAAAUAUAUUACCUUUACCAAUAUAUGCAUGAUUGGCUACCAUAGCAGGAUAGCCACACAUAAUACAACUUAAAAUAUACAAUAACUGUGUAAUAUAUACAUGAUUGGCUACCAAUGCUACGGGGCUACCAAGGCUAUAGGAUAGCCACAAGACCAAGGCUAUGGGGCUACCAAGACUACAUAAUAACCACAAGAUAGUAUGAUUCAAAAUAUACAAUAAGUGUAGUAUUUGCAUGAUUUCCAAAUGAGAAGGAUGAUUACAUACCUCAAUCAUAUUGUAUAUUUUUUCUUUCAACUCAGUCGGCACCAGCUUCCAAGAUGCAUGUGUAAUUGGGAUAUGAUGAUGCACACAAGAUCCAAUUUGAGGGUCUAAUUUAAUUUAUGAAUCCUAAUUCAAGACAAUAAUCAUUAAAAACCCACUAAUUUACAUAUUAAGAAAUAUUUGAAUUGCCUUUGAAUUGCCUCAUACACCCAUUCUUUUUAGUGUAUAAUUAAAUUUGACGGUCUAAUAGAUAAGUUGAAUCACUUAAAUAUUAAUUUUGAAAGUUCAAGGAAGUAAAUUUAACAUUAUCAUUAUACUUUAGAGACAAUAUUUGUCAUUUGCCAUAAAAAAAAGUACAAAUUGUAAUUGAAUUGCAUUGGAUGGCAUUCAUCUAAAGUAUGAAUCUUACCAAUAAUAGUAAAUAUAUUAAUUCAUUACUCGUUACUAUAAAAAAAAUGGCAUUCAUCUAAAGUAUGAAUCUUACCAAUAAGAGUAAAUAUACCAAUUCAUUACUCAUUACUAUAAACAAAUCAAUAUGAUAAUUAUAACCAUAACGACAACAAAUUAAUUACGGUCUAAAACAUCCAAGAGUCACCCUUAAUUUCUCAUUACUCAUUUCUGUAAAAAAAAAAAACAACAAUAAAGAAAAAUGAUGGUCUUCUCUAUUUGUCAAUUAGAUUAUACCAUUUGUUUACGAAUUGAACAUAAACAACAUAAACAACAUAAACAUAUAACACAAAUAAAUAUAAAUAUACGAGAGUCAUUCUCAAUUUUCUUCUCUUUGUGUUUUUCUCACUUUGGGUUUACAAUAUCAUCCUUAAUUACAAGAUAUAAAUCAAAUUCAAGGGAGCAUUAUUCAUAGAAAAAUGUUAAAUACAAUAAGAAUGAGGAGCAUAAAAACCUUUGAACGCGGAAGUAGUUUGCCAUGCAGAAGAUGUUCGCAGUCAUGGAAGCCGUUCACUGUGGAAGUUGUUCGCUGCGUGGAAGCCGUUCGUCGGGUUGAAGCUGUUCGGAACGGGUUGAAGCUGUUCGCAACGGGUUGAAGCUAUUCGGGUGGAAGCUGUUCGUCGAGUGGAAGCGUUCGUCGUGUGGAAGCCAUUCGCCGUUUGCCGCUCUGUGUUGUGUGGAAGUCAUCCGUUGAUUCGAAGAAGUGGCUGUUCGCCUGUGUUGUGUGGAAGCGUGGAGAUGAGAAUAGGGUUUCAUCGUGGAGACGUGAGGGAUUACUAAAAAUAGGGAAAUAAAAGAUUUUAAUAUAUUUAUUUGAUAUUUUUAAUUAAAUGAAUUUAAUAAAUUUAAUUAAAAUAUUUUUAUUAAAAUAUUUCAAUAAAUAUAUUUGAUAAACUUUUCAAAAAAUUAUUUUUUUUCAUAUAUAAAUAUAAAAUAAAACAAGCUUGGGAAGCAAGAAUUUUUUCCAUAUAUAUUGUUUUAAGGUUAAAACUUGGAAAGCAAGAAAUUUUUCAUCUUUUCAUUGGAUACCUUUUUUAACAAUAUAUAAAAGGAAAGAAGUGUUAUUGAGGAAAUUGAAAAAAAAGCCCACUAAUCAUUUUCAAUAAUCGACAUGCAAAUUUCUAUAGAAAAAAAUGAAAGAGACAUUAAAAUUUAAAGAAAAUUACAUGAGUUUUUGUUAACUUUUGAGAAAGAUCCAUGGAUUGAUCGUGAAAAUAUAAAGAUUUGAGAUGAUGAAUAUUUUUUGAAUUAGGGAAUAAGGUUUUAUAGGAGAAAUUAGGAAUUGAUAAUAGAAAAUAAGUUGAAAGGGUGAAAAUUUGAAAACAAUGGAUUUGUACAGUAUCUUGUUUUCAAUUUGUUAUUAUUAUUAUUUUUCUUUAUUUCUUAGUUUUUGAUAAUAUUUUUUUUAAUUAUAUCAUUUUUUAAAAAAACAAAUAGAGUGGUUUGUGAGUUUUUGUUUCAAUUUAUUUGUUUUUAUUAAUUUAUUCUUAAUUUUCGCUAUCAUUAACCAAUUUUCUUAAAUUAUGUUUUAGGUUUCCAAGAUCUUCAAUCUUUCCAUAAAAAGAAACAAAAAAAGAAAAAAGAAACCCUAAAUUAUUUUGAUUUUAAUUUUUUUUUGGUAAAUAACUAAAUUGAAUUAUAUAUGCUCACUCUAAUAAAAUGAUUUUUUUAUUAAACAAAACUUCAUAAAAUCAAGUUGAUGUGCGAGAACUUAAUAUUAUAUCACUUACCAAUACAAUAUUUAGAUAUGCAUCUCUAGGAUAUCAUCUAUUUUUGUUUAUCAAAUUGUCUAAUCAUGUCACAAAAUUUGUAAUUUUUUUAUGUGAGUAGUGAUAAAUGAUGUGUAAAAGUAAAUAAUUAUGGAGAUAUACCAAUAAAUUGGAUCUAUUAUUAAUCUACACACUACAAAGUAAAAACUAAACAAUGGAAAAAGUUGAUCCAUUUAAAAUUUAUUAAAUGUUUCAAUAAAUUUCAUUAAUAAUCAUUUCAAUAAAAUAUUUUAAUGAAUUUCUUUGAUGAAAUAUUUAAAUAAUGUUAUUUAGUGAAACACUUCAACAAAUCUGUUUUGGUAAAAUAUUUCAAUAAAUUUAUUUUAACAAAAGAUUUCAAUAAAUUAUUUUAGUGAAAGAUUUCUAAAAUUUUCUUUAAUAAUCUUUUCAUUACAAUAUUUUAAUCAAUUUAUUUAGUAAUCUUUUCAUUAAAAUAUUUUAUAAAAUUUAUUUUUAAAAAUAUUAUCAAUAAAUUUAUUUAAAGGAAAAUUUUAAAUAAAUUUAUUUUAAUGAAAGAUUUCAAUAAAUUUAUUUAAUUAUUUUUUAAUAAUUUAUUUCAUAAUUUUUUUAAAUUUUUAUUUUAAUGUUUUCAUUAAAAUAUUUUAAUAUUUAUUAAAUAAGCAUUUCAUCAAAAUACAUUGAUAAAUUUAUUUAAUGAAAGAUUUCAUUAAAAUAUAUAAAUUUUGUAUAAAAUAUUUUAAUAAAUUUAUUUAAUGAAAUAUUUUCAAUAAAAUUAUUUAAAGGAAAGAUUCAAUAAACUUAUUUUAAUGAAUUCAAAAAAUUAUUUUAGUGAUAAAUUUCAAAAAUUUAUUUAACAAUUUUUUAUUAAAGUAUUUUAAUAAAUUUAAUUAAAAUUUUCAUUAAAAUGUUUUAAUAAAUUUAUUUAAAGAAAUGGUUUCAAUAAAUUUAUUUAAAUAAAAUAUUUUCAAUAGGUUUAUUUAAAAGAAAGAUUUUAAUAAAUUUAAUUUAAGUAAAGAUUUCAACAAAUUAGUGAAAGAUUUGUAAAAGUUUGUUUUAGUGAAAGAUUUCAAAAAAAUUAUUUAAUAAUAUUUUAUUAAAUUUAAUUUAUUUAUGAGUUUUUCAUUAAAAUAUUUUAAUAAAUCUAUUUAAGGAAAUAUUUUCAAUAAUUUUUUAAAGGAAAAUUUUCAACAAAUUUAUUUUAACGAGAGAUUUUAAUAAAUUUAAUUUAAUGAGAGAUUUAAACAUUAUUUAAGUGAAAAUUUUCAAAAGAUUUAUUUCAUAAGUUUGAUUUUAAAAAAUUAUUUUAAUAAGUUGAUUUUAAAAAAUUAUUUUAAUAAGUUGAUUUUAUACUUUUUAUUUUCAUAUUUUUAAACGUUUUAUAUUUGACAUUUUGGCAAUUGACAUUUUAAAAGUGUUAAAUAAAAAAUGUUAACUAUACUUGACGUUGUUUCGCGUCAAGUAAAUGUCCACUAUACGUGACAUGAAAAAAACGUCAAGUAAAAUCUCCACUAUAUUUGACGCGAAUAAACUGUCAAAUAAAUCUCCACUAUAUUUGACACGAAAACCAUGUCAUAUAAAAGUUAACAUAAAAAUUUUCUUUUUUAAAACCAUACCUGACAUGUUUUUUGUGUCAAGUAAAUGUUCACUACUUUUAACCCGAAUAAAAUGUCAAGUAAAAUCUACUUUAUACUUGACGCAAAAAAAAAAACGUCAAAAAAAGCUAACAUAAAAUAAUUAAAAAAAAUUCGUGAAAACUUCAUAUUUUUUAAGACUAUACUUGACGUUUUUUCUUUAACAUAGUUCAUACUUGACGUUUUUUUAAUAAAAACGUCAAGUAUGUAAAAGUUGCUAGCGUCAAGUAAACUCAUUUUUGUAGUAGUGAAUGUGUAAAGCUCCUUAUCGCAAGAGCCUAAAUUGCAUGAUGCUCUUAGUCCACAAGAGCUUAAAAGGUGAAUGACAAAAAAAAAAAAAAAAAAACAACUCAAUUGAACUACGUUAUGACUUGAUCUCUGUGUUAUAAAAAGGAUACGUAGGCAGCUUAAAGAUUACUUUAAGUUCAGUCACACGAAAAAAAAAAAUUAUGCUUCAUCGUGAUGAUGUAAUCUCAAUAGAAAAUGAAAUUCAUGCAGUUACAACAGAAAAGAAAUGGGACAAAUGGGGCAAAGUCAAAGUAGCGAGCUCUACCUUUUCUCACAAGUGUUGCAGCUGAAAAGAUAUUCAUCUUCAUCUUCUCUCAAGUGUUGCAGCUGAAAGGAUCUUUAUCUUCACCUUCUCCAUGUGUUGCAGAGAGGAUUCAUCUUCACCUUCUCCAUGUGUUGCAGUCGGAAGGAUUUAUCUUCAUCUUCUCCAUGUGUUGCAGCCAAGAGGAUUCAUCUUCAUCUUUUCCAUGUGUUGCAGCCGAGAGGAUUCCUCUUCUCCCACGUAUUACAGCCGAGAGGAUUCAUUUUCAUCUUCUCCCACGUGUUAUAGUCAAAAGGAUUCAUCUUCAUCUUCAUCUUCUCCCACGUGCUGUAGCCAAAAGGAUUCAUCAUCAUCUUCUUCCACGUGUUGCAGACGAGAAGAUCAUCAUUUUCAUCUCCUAGGUGUUGCAGUCGUUAUCAUCUGCAUCCCCGAUGUGUUGCAACCGUCAUCAUCUACAUCUCUGAUGUGUCACUGCCGACAUCAUCUGCAUCUUCGAUAUGUCGCUGUUGUCACCAUCUGCAUCUUCGACGUGUCGCAGUCGUCAGAAUCUCCAUCUGCAUGUGUUGCAGUCAUCAUCAUCUGCAUCUCUGAUGUGUUGCAACCGUCAUCAUCUGCAUCUUCAAUGUGUUGCAGGCGUCAUCAUCUGUAUCUUCGAUGUGGCUGUCACCAUCAGAAUCUUCGACGUGUCGCAGCCGUUAGAAUCUUCAUCUCCAUGUAUUGCAGUCAUCACCAUCUGCAUCUUUGAUGUGUUGCAGUUGUCAUCAUCUGCAUCUUCGAUGUGGCCGUCAUUAUCUUCGAUGUGUCGCAGCCGUCACCAUCUACAUUUUCGAUGUGUCGCAGCCAUCAGAAUCUCCAUCUCCAUGUGUUACAGUCAUCAUCAUCUGCAUCUCUGAUGUGUCGCAGCCAUCAUCAUCUGCAUCUUCGAUGUGGUCGUCAUCAUCUUUGAUGUGCCGCAGUCGUCACCAUCUGCAUCUUCGACGUGUCGCAGUCAUCAAAAUCUCCAUCUCCAUCUUCGAUGUACGAAUCUUCAUCUCCAUCUUCGUCUUCCAUGUGCUCCAGUUGGUCGAAUCUCCAUCUCCAUUUUCGUCUUCGAUGUGUCGCAGUCAAUUGGAUCUCCAUCUUCGAUGUGUUGCAGCCGAUCGGAUCUCCAUCUCCAUCUUCGAUAUGUGGAUCUUCAUCUCCAUCUCGGUCUUUCAUGUGCUGCCGUCGGUCGAAUCUCCAUCUCCAUUUCUGUCUUUGAUGUGCCGCAGUCGAUUGGAUCUAUAUUUACAUUUUUGUCUUCGAUGUGUUGCAGUCGAUCAGAUCUCCAUCUCCAUUUUCGUCUUCGAUGUGUCGCAGUCCGAUCGAUCUCCAUCUCUAUUUUCGUCUUCGAUGUGUUACAGCCGAUCGGAUCUCCAUCUCCAUUUUUGUCUUCGAUCAAGCUUGGUGUGCUCCACCAUAUAAAUUGACCAAACUUCGUAUAACAUUUUAAUCACACUUAUGUCCAAAUGCAUAGUAUGAUUAAAUUGACAUAUUAACUAGAACCAAAUCCAAGAACAAAUUCACUUAUUUCAGCUUAUCGUUUUCGAGAUUCACCCAUCAUAUAAACGUGCACAAAUCUCUAAAAGGAGACAUUUGUUGAGCAAGAAAUUUUGACCAAUUAAAUUACGCCACAUCAUCACAAUAAAUAUGAAUGAUUAUACUUUUGUUUGAGUUUGGAUAAUUAAGUUUACUCAACCCAACUCAAUUCAUAUCCAACAAAAAAAAUGGGCUCAAGCCCAAGUCGAAUAAGCAGAUGGGCCCAAGUUCAAACUCAACUCACAAAUGGGCUCAAGUCCAAGCCCAACAAUCAAAUGGGCCCAAGUCCAAGUCUAGCAAGCAAAUGAGCCCAAGUUCACCUAAAGCCCAUGAAAUUUCUCUAUAAAUAGAGACCAUUGCCAUUCAUUUUAAAAGGGGUCUUUGGUUGAAUAAAGAAUUGAACCUCUGAAGUACUGAAGAAUUGAAGAUUCAAACUUCUACAAGCUCUCAAGACGUCAAAGUUCAUAUCAACCUGGAGAUCAACAACUUCUGAAAGUUGGAAGAUUAAACUUUCCUUGGUUCCAUAAGAUCGAAGUUCAAAUCAACUUGCAACUACAAUAUCCUAAAGAUCGAAGAUCAAAAAGUUAUAAGUUUUAACUUGUAUUCGAGAGAAAGCAUCAAAUGAGUAAAUACUAGAGGUUGUAUGCACAAUAUUCAUCAAUAUAUAAAGUUCAAUUCCACGAAAUACAUUUAUUCGAAAUCUCGUGUGAACAGUGAGAAUAUGGUUAACCAAGUUUAAAUAUAUAAUGCAACAAUACAAACGUAGUGACCAUAAUCACAAAAUUUAAACCGAACUCAAACAACACAUGAACAUAAAAUAAAAAGCAACAUACCAACAUUGUUUACUAUCGAAUAAUAGUCCAAAUCAAUCAUGGAUUGGUCAAACAUUAUCUUUAGGAGAAUAUUACAAAGAAAAAAAAGUAUGAAAAAGUGCAUUUUAUAAAAUAUUAUUAUAACUAAACUAAAAGUAUUUUCUUGAAUAACCUAAAAAAACUCAUUUUUGUUUAACAUUUUUUCUAAAAACUUCUUAAAAUAAAAACACAAUCGUGUUUUAAAAUAUAUAUUUUAAAAAAUAUUUAUACGUACAAAUUUCUUUUGUUUGUUAUAUAUACUAAAAAAUAUUUUUAUAAAAAAUCUUCAAGACUAAUCGAUGACAACGGUCGUCGAAGUUGAUUAUCGGAAGUUCGUCGAUGGAGUCACUAGAGAUGAUGGUGGGAGAUUGGCCGACCAUGAUCAUUGAAGAUUAGCCUAAACCCAAAAGAUAAAUAAUUUUUUUGUAAUAAAAGUAAACUAACAUUUGACUGAACAAUUUUCUCUAUUCCUUUUGACUUCUUUUGGAUUUUUUUUCUUUUUCAAAAUAAGAAUGGUCACUUUGAUUCUCAAUUUUGUCGGAUUAUAAUAAUUUAUACUCAAACACAUAUUAUAAUAACUCGUACUAUAAUAAUUUACACAUAAACACAAAUUAUAAUAACUAAUAUUAUAAUAUUAUGUACCCUAAACACGACUAUAACAACUUAAACUAUAAUACUAUGCACCAAACUUCUCCUAAAAGAAUUUGUUUAUAUGAAUAUGAUGUCUCUCUAAAGAUGAAGAAACAAUUUAUUUAUAGAGAGUGAUAUUGCAAAAAGUUAGUGAAACUUAGGAGUGAGCAUUGACUUUAAAAAAAUCAAUUCAAACAAUCGAAAUUAACCAAAUCUAUUUAUUAUUUAAUAUUAAAUAAAACAAACCGCUCAUAGUAAUGUCUCGUUCCUAGAUUUGGUCGAUUUCCUAAACCUUAAGUCUAUAUUUUCAUUCUAUAGGUUUUGUUUACAGCACUCGGGUGAAAAAAUGGCGCCCAAGGGAAAGAAAACCAAUAGCCCUACUAGCGACAGCGACGAGGACGAAACCUUCUAUUACCGGUAUCCCUCCGCCCCCUCUUCUGACCCGUCGCUGCCGUCGUCUUCACAGUCGCACUUCUCAUCGCAAUCGCACUCACACUCACACUCUUCCACUAAGUCUGGCGGUGGUUCUGGAGGUUUGGUUCCUUCGAAGUCUACUCUCUAUGUUUCCAAUUUCGACUAUUCACUCACUAAUUCCGACCUCCACACUCUCUUCUCCAACUUUGGUAAGAUCGCUCGUGUUACGGUGUUGAAAGAUCGACAGACUCGCAAGUCUCGCGGCGUUGCCUUCGUCCAGUUUAUUUCUCAGGACGACGCGGUGAAGGCCGCGAAACAGAUGCACGGGAAGAUUUUGAAUGGCCGUGUUCUUAAGGCUGCUAUAGCGACUGAUAAUGGUCGUGCCGCUGAGUUUAUAAGGAAGAGGGUUUAUAAGGAUAAGAGUAGGUGCUACGAGUGCGGCGCAAUUGAUGGGCAUUUGUCUUAUGAAUGCCCUAAAAAUCAAUUGGGGCCAAGGGAGCGACCAGAACCGAAGCGGGUAAGAAGGGGUGGAGUUGGUGCUAGGCACGAGGAGGAUUGGGGAUCGGAUGUUGGAGAAGGGUUUGAGGAUGACAAUUGGGCCUCGGUGGUGGACGGAGAUGCAGACCAGAGACUCCUGACUGGCGGUGAGAACAUUGUAGAGAAGAAAAAAGAGAAGAAAGCAAGUUAUUUCAGUGACGAGAGCGACGAAGAUGAUUAACUGAGCCUGUCUCUUUGGGAAGAGUUUGUAAAAGGUGCGUGGUUUUUACUAUUGUAUUGUUUUUAUCUGCCGUUCCAUUAUAUUUUGAACCUCUAUUUCUGGUUGAUUUUGGUGCAUGAUUUUUGGGUGGCAUUGUUAGAUGAGAUAAAGCUUACAGAGUUUAGAUUUUGGGCUGCCGGGUGCGAUAAGUAAUAAUGAGUUACAGGUAUGUAGUCUACACUUCGUGGUAAUGUCAGGAGUAGUCAGGAUUGGAAUACUAACUCUUAACCUAUGGCACUUGCUCUCCACCAAUAGGUUAGUAAUUGAAACUAGAAAUGUUAUGUUGAAUUCAAAGACUCUCUUUGGAGAGCUGAAAUGUAUGAGUUUAAUUUACAAAUCGGCUCUAAAACGCUGAAUCCAACCAUUGGUUAUUGAUUACAUUACAUUACAAUCUCAUCCGAUGACGGUCUACCGAAUACCCCAAGGAUUUAGGCACCGCUGUUAACAGUAUAUGAGCACUACACUGGAAUUUGGAAGUGGUAAUAAAUACUCAUCUUCCAAUGCCUCCUGUUUUCUUUUAAGAGUUAAGGAUUUCUGCAGUCAGAGAGUAUAAGUUGCUUAUUCAAUCUCAUGAGCAUGAGCAAUAUUUGUAUUUUUGUACAUUUUGGAAUUCCCAUAUCAUGAUCUCGGCGUUUAAUGCCAAGGGCUUGAUUUCCCAAUGUGCCAAGACUUGUCCAAAGGAUUCUUUGAUCAAACAUUAUUGUUAUUAUUAUUCUUUUUGAGGAGACAUUUCUUUUAUCAGAAACAUAUAAAUAAUUUCAUUGAUGGGAUGAAAUUACAAAAGAGCACAUAUGCUGCGAGAGAUUACAAAGAUUAUUCCAUUGUGAUAUAAGAGAAGUAAGAUUGUAAUAAUGAAAGUGUGGGGUGAAUUUACACCAAGUGAAGGUUGUAUACAAAAGAUGAUCGAAAAGUGAGUGAAGUCGGAUUCCUUAUCUUUGAAAGUACGAUGGUGGCAUUUGUUUCAGAUGAGCCAAAAGAGAACUCUUCACUAAGAUUAGAUGAAAAGCAAGGGUGGGGAACUCCAGAAAACCCAAGGGACUUGGGAGAAAAAUCAAUCCAAUGACAUCAAUCGAUAAUGAGAGUGAAGUCAUUACUUAAACCUUUAAAGUGGAUACACGUUCACCAAUUUUAAGGUUCAUACCUUGUGGUUUGGAUCAGUGUUAGGUGUCUGCUCUCUUCUAGUUAGCAUCAUAGUUCAACAUUUUAACCUAAUAUAUUGUAAUCCUCUUCUUCCUACUGACUAUUUGUCCAUUUAGGCACAUUUUCUAAUAAUUUUGCUUUUAGUUUUGUUUGUUUUCUUCUGUUCAAAGACUAGGAAAGAAAAAGUAGUUUUCAAGAACAUUUUUAUCAAUUGUUCAAAGAAGUUUAGUCAUAAGUAAUUUUCAUAAGCAUAAUUUUGUGAAACAAAAUUGUUGCCAAAUAGAGGCUUAAGUUUUUUUAGCUUUCAACUUGACUUUGUGAUCAAUCUCUUCAUGUUUGUUUGAAAGAAGAAGGCAUUUGCCACAUUUUAGCGAAGAAGGCAUUUGCCACAUUUUAGCUUUCUCCCCUUUACCACUUUGUUUUAGUGGAGCUACGUGAGGAAAAGGUGCCAUGUCUCUGAACUAUUUUGAUUUAUCAUUCAUAUAAUUUCUUACUUCUAAAUCUCUGAUGUACCGCAAAAAAUAUUGCUAAUAUAUUUGAAUCUAUCUAUUCUAUAACUUAUAUUCUUGCACUUUCAAUGCUUUGAUCAUAGUCACAAGAUGUGUGUGGAAACAACAAAAUGCAACCUUAAACAUAUUGGGUUAAAGAAAUAUUCGAUAUCACUGAUUUCAACUUUUGAUUAUCACUGAUUCAUCUAUAAUUUUGGCUGGAUCCAUGAUCUUCCUAACUCAUAGUAGUAUAUGUUUAUCAUAACCAAUACGUCUUACUGUCGUUACAACAUCUUUGUGGGUUUUUGUUAUUGUUUUGCUUUGUUUUAGCUGUUGGUUUAUUUGACUAGUGACUUACAUGAGAUUUAGUCUACCUUGACAUUUCUCAUAACACGACCCGUCCUUGUCUUCUGAGCUAAGAGGAUCAGGCUUAGUCAAGUCUACCGUCACAUUUCAAUUUAAUGAUCUAUUAUGUUUGAUUUUUCGUGAAUUUGUGUUACUUAAUAUGAUCUAUUUUGUUUCUCGCUUAUCAAAUAAUUGGAAUUAAGAGGAGAUUUGUUUAACAUUUGAUGAGAAUGGUGAUGCGUUAAAGAUUCGAUUUUAUUGCAAGUGUCUUCGUGAGAUUAUGUCUUUCGGUAGUGUUGAAAGAGCUACUGUUUCUAAUUUUGGUUCAUUUCUUGUUAUGGGAGAUUGGUUUAAGAUAUGGAAUAAAUGUAGUUCAUUUCAGGGUAAUAUGUUGCAAAGCUUUUUAAUAUUCCUUCACACAACCAUGGUUCCCUGUAUUCAGUCACCUUUAUUUUCUUGUGGCAGGCUACAUUAAGAUAUAUCAAGGUUGGAGACCAAAGUUGAGAGGCUAAAGUCGGUAGUACAAGUUAAAGAUAGGGAGAUUGCAACAGUUACACGAAUAGUACAAUCUCGAGACUUGUCUAAAUUCUAUGAUUUCUCUCUAUUUAACAUUGAACAAGGAAGUUCUUUUCCACAGGAAGCCAAAGGUAAGGCUGCUUUUAAAGCUCAAAUUGACAAGCUACAGUAGGAAAAUGUUGAACUCCAGAGAAGGGUUAUUGGCAAUCAGGUUAUGGUAGUUGGAUGCUGUGAGAUAGAUACUAGUUUCUAUGUAAUAAUUUUAGUACUAAUGUUGUUUUCUGUUUGUGUGCAAAGCAAGUAAGAACUCAACAAAUACAUGAGAUGAAGAAGAAAGAAAAGGAGUACAUCAAAUUGCAGGUGAGAACCUACAGGGUAUAGGAAUACCUACAGGAAAGCUGGAUAUGUAUGUUGCUGCUGCUGGCAUAAACCCUCAAAGAGUAUGUUUUUCUUAGACAAGCUCAACGCCCUCCCUUCAUCCAAUGGUUGUUUAUCCAACUUGAUUUCAAUCAGUUGUGGCUAUUGUUUUAAUUGUUUAUAGGAUUGCCUGCAUUCAGAUUGUUUUAUCUUCUCAUGUUGGGCUACUUCCAAGAAAUUUUUUAAGCGAAGGGUGGAUAAUAGCUCGCUUGUUUAGUCUAAACUUGGGGGAUUUCAAAUUUUGCCCAAAUUUCAAAAUUUUUCAAAAGUUUUUCAUUACAAUAACGAGCAUCAUAACUUCUUAGAUCUUGCAUAAAAGGCAUGACUGUCAACCCUUGAGCACUAAGCUCGGGUUUGUGACGUGAGAUUCUGAAUUUUGAGAAUAAGCUUAUGUCCUUUUUGUUUUUGCUAAGUUUCAACUAAUACACUCGGUAUUUAUCUUUGUGCUUAUGUGAUAGAUUUGUUAUGCACUGUAGUGAUGUGGGGUGUUUCCUUAUUUUCUGCAUCUUAACUACCUUAUUUCCUGCAUUUUAACUAUCUUAUUUCCUGC
This 74206-nucleotide long non-coding RNA is filed under the name Cucumis sativus (cucumber). RNAcentral's name for it is "long non-coding RNA (CSAT_LNC003187)". Lineage: Eukaryota; Viridiplantae; Streptophyta; Magnoliopsida; Cucurbitales; Cucurbitaceae. The record is from RNAcentral.